AAGAACGCCUCCACCGCCAGCUGCAGGUUGAGCGCCGGCCAUCCCAUCGAGGUGACUUUGUGGGAGGCGUCCCCGCCUGCCCUCUCCCACUUCUCCGUCCACUGCCCCGAUCUCCCAUCCUUCAAUGGCAAUCUGCUUGGCGCGCCUAAAGCCAUCGCCGCCGCCGUCGACGACGCCGACGGCCAGCUCCUCCUCCUCCUCCGAGUCCCCAUCGAUCAGCUUGGUGCCCCGCAUGACAACGACUACUUGGUCUACCAUCCGGAUCCCCCGUCUCCGAAACUGGAUCUGCUCCCCAACCCGCCUCCCCCUACCCUCGGUGACCACCAGCUCGCCAUACUCAGCUGCGGCGACGACCGCUACGUCGUGGCCGCCCUCCACGUCUGGAGUGAGUUCACUUCCACGCUGCGCCUGUACAGAUCUUCUUGUUCGUCUGGGAGUUGGACAUCGGAGGAGGUGUCCGUGGAGGAGCCGGUGAGGGACAGGCUGUGCCCGAUCCCGGACUCAGCCAAGAGGCAGCUGUACCACGUCACCACCAAGACCAUCACGCUCGGAGGUGCGAAGGGCACCGUGGGCUGGGUUGAUCUCUGGCGCGGCAUCCUCCUCUGCGACGUGCUCGACGAAAUGUCUCCAAGGAAGCUCCGCGACAUGCCGCUGCCGUGGCCGGCCAAGGGCAAUUGGAGGAUGUACCUCAAUGGAGAUGUGUCCUUUUGUCGGGACAUCGCCAUCAGCCAACACAAGGAUUCCAUCAAGUAUCUGGAGAUGGAGAUCGUUUCACCAAGAACGGUGACCACCACCAUACCCACCUCCACCUCUGCAGAUCCUACUUCAUACCUUGAAUGGGUUCGCCGCAGCAGAGAACCUCAGCCGACACGGCGACGCUCCGUGUUCCACCCUGGUUCGUGGAGAAUCACUACAUGGAGCAUGCCUAUCCCGGUCACUUCAUGGGACGACUGGCGCCGUGACUGCACUGCUGAAUCGCGUGAAGUCCAUCUUGACACCAACCCAAGUCACCAUUACGAGUUGCUUCAUAGCCUCAUGCUCAGCAACAGCGGUGAUGAACACAGGGAGGAGGCUCAAGGUCAAGGGGCAACCUCUUCCUUGUCCCUAGGUCGCCUGCGUUUGUGUUACCCGGCCUUGAGUUGCAUCGAUGAUGAUGUUGUUUACCUCUUGGGCAACGCUGCUGGCAGGGGUGCUAAGACGGGAGGAAUGAUGGUCGCUGUUGACGUCAGGAACAAGGAGCUGCGAGGAGUGGCCAAGCUUGACCCCGAAAAGAACACCCUCUACUCCAUGCGAUGCUACCUUGCAACUGGGAUCUCCAAACGCCUCAACACUACCACAGGUACUUAAUUACCGCUCGUAUUCCAGAACAAAUGCAGCGCCAUGUGCAUAUGGGUAAUAAAAUGCCAUUUAAGGAUCUAGGGCUGAUCAUUAUAGUUCUUUGUUUAUGAUGGUCCGAAUGACCAAACUAGGACUAGAAUGUAGUAACUUUAUUUAGGGUGAUAGGCUUGAUAUGUUGAUACAAGGGCAGAACAGUACCAAGAGUCCUUUUGGCAGAGUAGUACCAAUACUCAUUAUGCAAUAUACUGUUUUGUGUGAGUUUCAGACAAACGUUGUGUUUCUAACUGUACUUGCAAAAACAAAACCUGAACUCUGUUAACAGAAUAAAGACACCUCCACUAAAAUGUCGACGACUAAUGCAUAAAAUUAUUUGCGUUCUUCGUGAAAAUUCAUAGCAGUAAAUGUGUCGUCACUCUUGUUUCCUUGUCAUUAUGCGUGUAAUAUAUUUUGCUAGCAUGCAUUUAAAUAUGAAGUAAUUAAUCAAAGUGCAUUCGUACCAUGUCAAAAGAACAAGAGAAUAGAGCAAGUAAUAAUAAGGUAGUACUUGACCAAAGCAUACUUGAAAAAGUAGUAUAUUGCUUUAGGUUUUGCUUUUCCUGUUGUACUCAAUGUGGACAACAUGAAUGCUCUUCCUCUUGAGUACUAAUUCUUGCUUCAAGGACAUUUUAUGAGAUAAUAGCUAUUUUAUUUGAUGUAGACACAAGAGUUGGACGACCUGAGGAGGAUGCAGAAGCCGCCGAGUAGAAUGUGCGAACCCAGUGACAUAUAUGCAUCAUACUGCAGCCUGCCUGGAUGCAAAUAUUAUCGUAUCAGUGGUUUGUUGGCUUGAAUGGGGGUUAAGGAGUUGUGCUGUUGCUGGGCAUAUAUAGUUUUGUGACAAGAAUCUUAUCCAGGUUGCUUACUUUGGGUUGAUGAUAAAAGUAGGAGUAGACGUGAAUAACAUUAAUAUAUGUUGGCUUAUUUUUUGAGGGGAUGUUGGCUUAUUUAUGUGGCACUAAUUGUCUUUAUGCCUUUGAGUUAAACACAAAACAAUGAUCCAACUCUUUGAACCUGUUUGUUUCAAGUAAUGAGUUGAUGAAUUUUUCACCACUUGGAGUCCUCCCUCAAACUGGAUCUGCUCCCCGCUGCCUCAAACUGUUUUUUUUUUUUGAACGAAUGUGUUUUCUAAGUUCAUUCUCAGAACAAUGCCCGCCAUCAGAUUCAUCGACUAGCAUAGCAAGACAGUAUAACUUUUUACCAAAGAAAACUGAUUAUAUAGUAUAUAUAGAAUACUUGUCUUACACACAGUGACAAUCCAACAAUAUCUAUGCAACAGGAAUAAUAUGUUAGUGUGCAGAUCAUACCCUCUCAACUCUGAACUCUUCUGCAGCAGGGAGUUCAAGAUAUAUUUUGUACAUAGCUGACAGUGCACCAUUCCGGACAGCGGGACAGAGAAGCUCCAAUCAAAAGUCUCCGAUGUUCUGUCUUAUCUUCUAGGUUUUCGGGCUUGGCUCAAUUGGAAAGGCCCAAUUGAUUUUGGGCUUGAGUACAACGCAGCAUAAGGCGCCACCGAUUAGGCCCAAGUACAGGUAUACUCAAUUAAUUACCACUACUACCACUACAGGUAUACUCAAUUAAUUACCGCUCCUUGUUGUCAUGUCUGUUAUUUGCGUGCUGUUCUACGAGAGAUUAAUCUCUUUGGCUUAAAUUUCUGUCUCAAUUCUUAACAUGCAUAACAGAUUUUAAUCGGUCAAUAUAUAAGUUAGGCUAAACUUUGUUGUGUUCCUUUGCUUGCCGGCAUGUAAGUUCCGAAGAAUUUUGUUUAAACUCUACAAUGUUUGGCCAAGAAAAUUUCUCAUAUCUAGCUAAGAAGAACUAAAAGGAAAAGAGCUGCUGCUCUUGUUCGCCAGUAAUCUGCAUCAAUGGAUAGUGUAUACUGAUCAUUCCGGCGUUGACAUGGCGAAAAGUAUUUUGUCAAUAGGAAGGAGGAGAAUCACACGCCAAGUGCAUGCAUGAUUUUUCAAUUCAUUUCAAGGCAAAGUUUCUAGACAAAGCUAGGUUCUCGAUAAGCCGGCCACUUUGAUUUGAUGACAAUUAGGUUAAUUAAGGCAAUCUUCUUGCCUUUCCUUUUCUAUCAAUAGUGGACAAAGGUGAGAGCUGAUAUUUAUUAUAUCCUGUUAGCCAUUCAGAAAGUGCUUUCCAUGACAUUCCAAACGAAAUGAUAUUUUUCUCAUGUUCAGUCGGCCAUGCAUCUUCAGUUUAACUAAACAAGACAAAAAAAAAAAAAAACUUAUAUCCAACAUAAGAUAUAUAUGCCCUAUGAGCAUAAACGCACUCAGUGAUAAAAUAUACUAGUAAGAGGUAAAGCUAAGGUGAAUGCUGACAAGAGACAAGCCCAUCUGUCCCUCAAAGAUAACAAAUACUACUACUGAUUGAAACAAAAUUAAAGCAUGAUAGCCACUUCUGAAUUUCUGAAUGGCUGAAGGGGAAAAAAAUUGAACAGGAUACUGCAUGCUGAUCGAGUUGAACAAGUAAGAAAAGGUGUUCAUCUUUGCAGAGACAAGAUCUAACACAUUUCUAACUGCAGAGGUAGUUCAUAGCAUCCAUCGAUCACCUACACACAAUAUCCUCUCUCAUGCCUGACCCCUGCACAAACGCACACCGGAUUGCAAAUACACAUAAUUUAGAUCUUUCUAAUGAUUUUGUAUCGUCAGAUAAUCUUGCUUGUUUUGGUCGACCUUCAGAAUUGAGUUGAUGAAGUUCGUCGCAGUGAGCUCUUUGUAGGCAUCACCAGUGCAGCAAAUAGAAGAUGAAUUACAAGACUUACCUGUGAUGAAUUACAAGACUUACCAGGCAUCACCUGUCAAAUAAUCCAUUGAUGAAGUUAGUUUAGAAACUCAAGAGAGUACCGUUAUAAAUGCAGACUUAACAUCAAGGCUAGCACAAAUAGAAGAUGAAUUACAAGACUUACCUGUGAGAAUGAAGAUAAGUUGAAAAGUUGAAGGAUAUUACUGUUAUUGUCAAGGACAUGGGAGGACCAGAGAGCUUACCCAGUCAUUACAAUUUAGAGAUGAACCACAGAUUUGCAUAUGGAAAAUGAUAUAAAUGAUAUAAGAGGUUUGCAAGAUGAUCUGAGAUCUAGCAAUGAGAAUUUGCUAAGAGAAGAAAGACUGAUAUAAGAGCUUUAGUCUAUCCUUGCAAGCCUGACUUCGAAACUUAGUCAAAAGAGUAUGGCCGUGCUUUUCAAUUUCUUAUGUAGUCUUAGCUGCCUCCAAUUUGUUCACUUGUUGGAUAGAUUAGGUAACAUAAAUUUGAUUGAUUUUCCUGAUGAUCAUAGAUUUGUUCACCUCCUCCGCCAUCUUGUGCCUGGCGCCGCCUCCGUCUUCGGUUUGCAAACGUGAACACUGGCAUCACCUACAUGAAAAAUCAAAUGGUUAAUGGUGUGCAACACUGUCAACUUUAAGGUGAAUUUGUGUCAACAAAAUUUCAGUCAAGCUGCACAAAAGAUUCAAAAGUCCCUGAAAUAAAUUGAGAUAACAAACAAUCCUCCAUGCAUAACAGUAUUGAGUACUGGCCCCAUUCGAGUUUAAGAUAAAAGAUUAAGUUCGGACAGGUAAAACGAGAAAAUCAUUAACAUCUCACUAAUUAAGGUUUAAUUAUUUUAAAAUUGAAAAAUAGAUUUAUCUUAUAAUUAAAGCUUCUAUAUAAAUUUUUUUCGUUCGAAAUAUACAGUUCAACAGUUUAAAAAAACGAAUUUAUAAAAAUCUAGGUAAAAUCUGUAUCUUAAUCAGAAAAAGAAAAAUAGAGGCUGAAGAAGCCUUGAGAGAGCAGUAGAGUAUGGCACUGGGAUGAUGCCAAACUGCUUUCAGAACCGAUUCACUGCUGCUGUUGGCAUCUGCAGAUUUGAUGAGUUCAGCUCCAAAAUGAAAUCUGCAUAAGCAAAGCAUCAUGAGUUCUGAAAAGCGAACUGUUUUUUUUUAAAAAAUCUUACAGAUAUGAACUGUAUUACAAGCAGCUGCGAAGCCACAAACCUAUAGCUCUGGCAAAUCCAUCUGGGCAGCACCGAGUCGCCGGCGCGUGCUGCGUGGCGGCGGCAACGCCGGGAGGGACGAGGCGGGAGGAUGAGAGCACCACGGCAAUCCUCUGCACCGAUGAGAUGAUGCUGCACAUGUACUGCUGCGCCAUGGCGGGCACGCUGCCCUGCAGGUGGCUCUCGAACGCGAACUGGAACGCGAUCGUCAUCACCGCCUUGGAGCUCGCCGCUGCUAUUGAUGCCGCUGAUCCUGCUCCAUGGCGUCGCUGCUUCGAGCAUGGAAGCGAGAUCUAGCAUGCAGUUCGAGCUAGAUGUGUCCUAACAUUUGCAAGGAAAGAAAAUCCAGAAGAAUUAUGUUUUUUAUAGCAUAAAAAUUUUAGAAAAUUUGAUUCGAAAUGCUAGUGUAUUAUCUAAUUGUGUGAGAUUUACUUACAGAGGAGAAUCGAUAGGGAUGAUGUAGAAACCGGAAGGCAGCAGCGGAGAAUCAUCACUGAACGAUGCAUCGAUGGGUGCAAAGAUUAGCUCUGAACAUGUUCCUGCACUGCUCUCCUCUACUCCAUUGUACAUCUGCCAUUGCAAUCAGGCCAAGAACACAAGUUUUACAGAGGAAAAAAGAAAAUGAUUCUUCAACUGGUGAUAAGUUUCAUGAAUCAAGAAGUCACCUGCAAGAGGAACAGAUCACGGUGCACCAGUGUAUCUUGGUAGUUUCUGGUGUUUCCUAGCUUGAUAACUUCCAGGAACUGAAACAGUAGAUGGUUGCACCAAAACAUCGAGCAGGAAAACAGAAUUGGACAGGACCUUUUUUGUAACCGACAGACAGUAGAAGAUGGACUUACCUCUGCAGGUUCAAAAGUGUGUGCUAAAGGAAGUAUGACCUGACCACUGAAUCCUCCAAGACGAGACAUGGGUAAAUUGCAGAAGUUUGGUUUCAUCGUCAGCCCAUUGUGACUGGUGUUCGCGCAAAAAUUGCAGUAGUGAUGGAGGAGAGACAUCCUAGCAAACAGCAGAAGAAAUAUUGUAUGAAAAAUAUUGGCAAUUACAAAACAAACAAAAAGAAAGUACUAAUUCUAGUUUCAUAGUGAAGCUAACCUGCAACAGCAUGGAUGCCUUGGCACAAAGAACACCGGUACUGACAAUAGUGAGUCCACUGCUGAAUGUUGCAUUGCAACCGGUCACUUUGGAUGAAUUGACAGAGAUGCAAACAUCGUCGAUGCCAUCGCUCUCGAUCACGGACCAUCCAUCAUCCGCAAGCCCAUUGAGAACUUCAUUGAAGCCUCUGAAAAGAGAGCAUGCAAAAUUAUUUUUCACACUUUUGAACUGAAGAUUCAUGGCAAGAACCAAGAAGCAUCUGCUGUUCAGGAGUCCUACGUGGUGAGCUUUUUGGCUCAGAGCAUGCAAAGCCGCAAGCUUCCUUCCCCAUCCUGUGAUCACAGAACGGGUAUCUUUGUAGGCAACCUGCCUCAGGCAGCGUAAAGACUGAAUUUUGCAUGACUGAAUUAGGCAAUAAUUUUUACAAAUCAACAAGAACAUCAAGAACAGGGUACUAUAAUUACUGUACCGCCAUCGAUAUCUUCUGCGCAACCAAGGCAGAAGAUUCAUACAGAGGUCGCACAACUUCAGGCACGCUCCAAGGCUGUGAACACAAAAAAAUUGGCUGAAAUUUCUUUCUGCUAGAUGAAUGAACUAUUUGGAUAAGAAAUUGUAAUGGUUAUUAGUUAUUACCUCCAGGUCCAUAUGAUCAACGAUGUGUAUCACGCUGCCUCCACCAUCGCUAGGUCGGAUCAAGAACCCACUGGGAAGCAUCUCAUCUCUGAUAAAAGGCUGGACAAGUGGCAUGCUUGGGCCUCCUUGCUUGCUACUGAGUGAUCUCUCACACACCUUCAGAAUUCAGAACAAGAACAUUCAGGCAAGCAGACAAGACAUCAUAGUGACACACAAAUACUUUGGUAUUAAUUGCACAUCAGCACAUGGAUAAUUUGUUUUGCGCUCCAUGAUCAGACAACUAACCACUAAGCUUCCAUCACCGAGAAUGGAGGUGUACCGCAGCAGCCAGAAGUCGUGAGCCGGCGCCAGCGUCGUCGGAGCAUAGAGUUGAAGACUGAAUACAGAUUUCAGCUUCGGAAUUUCAGGUUGAGCUAAGAAUUUGCCACAAAAAUUUUCAGGCUUGUCUGUUCUUGCCUGCAUGUAGAGCAGCUUGACCUUCCAUUUAGCACAACACUAAUGAGUUAAAUCAGAACAUGAACAACCAGACAACUACCCUACCCCUGCAUCAGAAACAUGAAGCUGCACAGAUAAGUUUUUAUCUCAGUCGUCAUAAAGCAGUGAAGAAAAUCAAGCAAAAAAUGUAAUUGCACCAACGAGUGAGAUGGACAGAUUGUUGCACCUCAUUAAAAAUAAAAAGCCCCAAACCUCCUCUAAGUCAAUGAAAAUUAUAGGGAAUGCAAUAAGCCACGAAAUAAUUGCAUGCUAGAAAAAAGUGGCUUGAAUAAACUAAUCUGAGAGCUCCAGUCCACGGUUGGUUUCUCUUAAACAUUGAAUUAUAUGAAGGCCUCUAUUCAAUGGGUUUAUUAGUAUCAACUUGCAUUUAACAGGAACAAUGGCCACUACAACUGAAACAAUGGUACAAUACGAUCAUCAAAGAUUCAAAGUUGUCAAGCUCUGUGACCAAUAGAUACUUACCUUUUAAUUGAGUUGCCAAUGCCCCAACGUUAUAGCCUGAUCCUUACCUUUCGGCUUCUUGCUAUUACCACCCUACUACAAUGCUAUUUCUAUCACCUGAAACAGUAAGAAUCAUGGAAAAAAGAUUCUCGGUUAAUGAUGGCAAGGAUUGAGACUCUGACUGUCCAAAAGAAAUAGUUCAUGCAGCAAUAAGAAAUUAAAAAUCGGCAUCAAGUACACGAGAUAGCCAAAUAAUGGAUCAGGGAAAUGACAUUUAUUUGAUCCCUGCAAAAUUUGCACAUGAACAUACUACUUGCCUAUAGAUGAUGGUGGUGUGGCCGUGUGGGCAAUAUUGGGUGCAUAUGAAAAUGCUGCAAGAAAAAAAAAGGGUGCCCUUUAUACCGAUCAAGAAAAAGAAGUGCAUUUUAGCUUGAUCAAGAACUAACCCAAAAGCAGGCUACUCGUCAACACUGUUUCACUCCCUCUCAGUGAUAUGUGUUCAUGUCUAUUCGGCCAGCAAGCACAUUGCGUUCGUCAAUACAUGCUGUCACUGCCCUUUUGAUCGCCCGCAGAAGAGCCACCCCAGCAUGCACGCAGACAACAAGACAACAACAAGCUUUGAGUUGAAGGGAAAUCCAGAUUAUAUAUUUGAUAUUAGUUAAUUCAGUGUCUCAAAAAAUAUCAUCAACUCCAAUUUGAUGACCAAAAAUCCUCUGCAAAACUGAUAAUUUUACAACCUUGAUGCUACAGAUCAAAUAACAGGACUGAAUGUGCCCUAGCUCCAAAUAUCACAAUAUAGGUGGUAUGUGUUCCUAUCGGGCUAACCUCACCUACUUCAGGGAAGAAAUUGGUCAGCAGCCAUACUUGGAUAAUGGCAGCAUGACCGUCGCCGUGGCCUCGCACCGCCAGUGGCCGGCGCACGCGCAACACACCAGGUCCUUCCGCUUUGGUCACCACUUGCCACUCUUUGCCUCCAUUAAUGACACCACCUCAGCGACUAGCCACCAUAGGUUUGGCCCCAACAAUCACUUGAAAUGAAAGUUGAGAUUACAAAUACGGCAAGCAGGAAAGCCGGUGAAAUCAAACUGCAGCAUCAUGCCAUUCUCCUCUCAAAUAUGGCCGUAAAGCAACACAAGAAGGGAUGUUUUUACCUCUCAAAUCUGUUUGCCGACACCGCCGCUGUGGUGGAGGAGGAGGCCACCAUGUAACACAGAACAUGUAACACAAGAAGGAUGGCAGUGUUUUAUCAGACUUGAUUUGUACCUGAAGGGCGGCAUGUUGGUGGGGAAUGCGUAGAUGCAGAGAACCAUCUCCAUCGGCCGGCAUGCUUGGUCCGCCACAAACCGCACCGGAUCUCAUCGCUGUGUUCUUGUAUCCGCCCCUGCCGAGGUCAGAGCACAAUCCACACCGCUGCUGAUUUACUCCAAUCCAUUCUUUCUAUGAAAAGAAGAAAAUCGAAAUAUCAAAAAAGGAACACAAAACUGAGUUCAACUUCAACCGCACAUCAUUAUGCACGCUGCAAACCUUACCUCCGUGAGACACGCACCAACAGCGGGAAACACGACGAUGAUACCAGCAAUGCAGCACCAAAGGAUGGGGAGAAGCUGUGCCGCCAGUCGAUCUGCGGCGCCCUCGCUUGAUCCGCCGUUGGUCCCAUUCGCACGAAAGGGGAAGAAAUGAAGACAUCAACCGAAGAGGCAGGGAGGGGAGAAGACAGAGCGACGCGACGAGGCGAGGACGAAGAAAGUAUUGGGGUGGAGGCGCUCGAGGAUGAGGAGGCCAGCGCGAGCUCGCAUCCGGCGCUGCACCCGUCCCCCGCCGCCUACGCCGCGAACGCCGCGGCCGUGAGGACAAGGAUGAGGAGGAAGGUGGAAGCUUCCACGGCGGGAGGUCGCUCGUGACGAAACCCUAGCGACGGGGCGGGGACGGGGAUGGGGGCGGCGACGCGAGGCGUGGACGGGGGCAGUGGUGGCCGGCAACGGAGGCGGUGAAGGGCGGAGAAUGGACCGGCGGCGGAGGAGGAGGAUGGCUGAGGGAGAGGGAGGAGGGGCGGCGCGCGGGGCGGCGGCGGCGGCGGCGACGCGAGGCGGGAGAAGGAGAGGGAGAGGGCGAGACGGGGGACGGGAGGGACGAGGAGACGAGCAGGCAGCGGCGGGCAGGUUGGGGGCUUGGGGCUGGGCGCACGGCGUUUUUGCGAAAAAGACCCUCGUCUUUCAAGUUUUACAGCGCGACCCUAACUCGCCACAUCUCCCUUCCUCCUAUGCAAUAACUGUAUUCACCAGAGGCCUAAACGUAAAUAGACAACUCGGUGGGACUGUUCAUGGAGGACGGCGGCCGAAUUACGCGCGAAGCGGAGGGCCUUUUCACAAAAAUGCCACCCCGCGCGCUGUAUAUACUGUAGCAAAAUCCUUACGUGGCACCCCUCCUCGCUCGCCCCAUGUGCGCCGCUUUAUAUAUUCCGAUUCCGAUUCCGUUUACAGGUGGAAUUAAUCACCUGUGGUGUGAACACAUAGGGAAGCAGGGGAGGGAGCUCCUGCUCCUGCAUGACGUCAUCCGGCAGCGGUAGCGCGGUCCUCAGCCACGCCCUUUGCGGCACGGCCAGUGGCCUCCGUCCAAGAUCCCCUCGGUGCCGCGGCUUGGGGAGAGAGGCGGCUGGCGAAUCAAAAGGCAGGCAAAGACGGACGUAGCGAUGCACGUGAUUUCACCCUCCCCAUCCCCAAGCACGGCAACCGAAUUCAUCGCCACAUCCAGCGACGAGGUGAAUCUGUGCCACUGCCGCCGAGCUUGAGGGGAGAGACGCACAGAACAGCGCGCCGGCGCGUGGGAGGGUCGGCCUCGGGCGCCGGAGGGGCGGAGGUGGAGCUGGAGCUGGAGCGUGAGGAGGAGGAAGAGGCGGCGACAUCGGCGUAGGUCGACCUCCGACGAAUGAGGCGGAGGAAGCGGGGGCGGGGCUGCCGGCGGAGAGAAGGGCAUAGCAGGGUAUAACUUUUUCAAAAAGACCCCUAAAACCUCACAUAUUACAAAGAGGUCCACCGCAGCUAUUCCACACCGUUGAUCAUCGAUCCGACGGCUGAGGGAGAGGACUAACGCUGGAAUCGUAUUGUGCCACGUGGAGGGGUUGUUUGCACGCGAAUCGGCAGAGAUUUCGAAAUUAGAGAUUACGCCAAUGCAUCAGGUACAACAUUUAUAUCAUCCACGUAUACGUGGAAUAACUGUAAAAAAACAUUUGUGAUUAUUAUUUUUUAAUACUAAACUGCUUAAAAAUCGAUCAGUUAAAUUUAUCCACCGUAGUACAAUCGUUACGCUAACGCGUCAGGAACAUCGCUCAUAUCAUACACAUGUAAAGUGGAAUAUUUUAAAAAAAACUUUGUGAUUAUUAUUGAAAUACUAGACUGUUUAAAAAAUUGUUCAGUUAAAUUUUAUCCAUCGUGACAUCACUCUGUGCGCAAAUAUAGAGCAUAUUAUUUAUCUAAAAACAAACAAUUUUUUUUGAGCAGAUUAGUUCUCUAAACCAAACAAUACUUUUUGAUCGCUAUACACACUCCGUAAACACCCGGUGCAACGCACGGUCACUUUUGCUAGUCUAUAUAUAUAUAGCAUGUAGAUUCGAUAGUAAACAAUUUACUAGUAAAUUUGGGAGGGGUAGGGGGCGCCGGUGGUUGGGGUGCACGGGGGUGGGUUGGGAGGGGUGGGGGUAGGAUGUGAGGGGGAGCAUUUUAGCUACUACGUACGCCAGAUGCGGUAUAGUAUGUAUAUAUAUAUAUAUAUAUAUAUAUAUAUAUAGUAAAUUUGUUAGGGGCACCAUGGUGCCCGGGCUCCAUAGCCAUCCACCGUCCAAAUGCUUUAAGAUCCGUGCAACACACUAGAGGAUGCUAUCACACAUUAACGGGUCUAACCCGAUAAGAGUUGCAUGCAUAUACUUUCCUUAGAACAUGCAUGCAGGUAUUUCCAUUUUUACUGUGCAUGUAUUUCCAAAUUUGCGCCCUCUAAUCAUGCAUACACAUUAUGAUUAGCACUUUCCAUUUUCUAUAUCACAUUUCCAUAUAUACAACGUUUGCAUGCAGAUACUUACCUUUUGAAUCAUGAUUCGUUUUUGAAAAAUGACGCCAUUCCACUAAUUGCGAUUAUUGCCAUCUAUUUUCAAGAUUACAUUCCAUUUUCAAGAUGCACAUAUAACCGGCUACUGUAUUCCUUUUUUUGAUUUUUCUUUUCCACACUGUUUCACGGUCCAAGAGCUAGCUAUCCACAUCGUCUUCACCGAGUUACCUCGCCGGGAUUGCUCGCCAUGCCGUGAAGAGGGCCGACGUCCGUGGUUUUCGUCACCGACGACGUUCGUCCACAAGCCUCUUGCUGGAAACCAGAACUCCUCAACCAUUUUUGUCAAGCCAUCACAGCGCCUGAUGUCCAAGUGCCUUUUCGCUGCCGUCGCUGGUUGUUCGUGAGCUUCGGAACAGACAUUAUUCACUAGCAAGCUGCAUUACCUGAAAGGUAUGGAUCUCAGUGUUUAUCACUCACACAUCUUACAUUCACAUGCAGUCCCUGUUAUGUAUAGAUGAUUCGCCAUUCCUCUUCUUUUUAUCUACUAAACUGAGCACAUGAUGAAUCACCUGGAACCUAAAUUUAUAGAUUUUUUGUUGAAAUGCAGUUGAAUUUAGAUUGUUUUAGGUAUAUAACAUGCCCGUUCGAAUAUCUUGAUUUGCAUCCAGUGAAUAAAAUUUAGGUAGGUAGUGAAACAGCAGCAAUGUCUCUUUUACGUGGACAUCUCAAUUAUAAUCUUUGUAAAUAUAGAUUUAAUUAAUUUUAAAUUGAAGUAUAUGACCCGAAGAGAAUCAUAUUGCUUGUUUUAAUAAUGGUAGUUUUUAAUAGCAUGCCGCGGCUUCCAAAGUGUGCGAGCAUGAGAAGAAAUGUGAAGCGUCGUUCCAUUCACGAUGAUGAUGACUUUGUCACUCCACCUACAAGGAAGAAGGCUGUUCGUGUUAAAUUCGUGGCACCGGUUUCGCGUUGUGUACCAUCUUCCAUCACACCUAUCAUACAGAGAUUUAGUGCUGAAAAGAAAGAGCUGGUAGCUGAGAUAAUUAUGUCAUUCAUCUUGUGGGAUAUACAUGUAUACGUGUUCGCUCUGUCACUCAUAAACCUAUGUGUACAUGUACACCUGUAAAAGUACAGAUUAUGUCAUUAAUCUUGUGGUAUUCAGACGUGCAUUUUUUCACUCUCUCUCUAUCCCGUUGACUAUGGCCAAUUAGUACCGAAAUCACUCGUUGGUUACUAAAUUAAUCAAUUGAUACCCAAUUCUGACUGGAUCGAUCCAUGCUGACGGUAACAAAUUAUAUUAUGUAACCUAUCGGUCGUAAUAGCUAUAAAUAUUACCAUAAAUAAGAUCUUUAUACUUGGUAAUGAUAUUAAUUUUUUCAUUCCUUCCAACGGAGACACAAUUGCAACAUAUAAAGAGCAGAACAAUACGACUCUGCUCACUUCUGGUGCUCUCUCUGGUUCUCGCCAACAACACAUUUCUGUUCCAGGUAUGGCUCCAACUUAUCUGUACGUAUAUGUACUUCUCAUAUAUGUUGACCUCUUCUUAGUAUUCUGAAAUUUAUACUUAUAUUGCCAGUAGCUAUGGACAAGAUGAACACUAGUGCCCGGAGCGAGAAGAUCGAUCAGUCGCUGCAGAAGUAUGAUCACCCACGCUGCCGUUGGCACAUAUUAUUUGGUACGAAGUCAGAACUACACAACUUAUAUCAUGCACGCACAGCAAGUGAUUUUGAAGAUACUUGGACGGCCCUAGUCAAUGAGUAUGGUCUUCAAGAGGAGAAUGCAUAUCUCCAAAAGGCGCAGAUGUUAAUAGACGAUGAAACGAAGCCCAAUGAUUCACAGGUAAUUUAUUUUAAUAUAUUUUUGGUUCACGUUCAGCUCCAGUUCUGGAUUUGUCACUCCUGCUCUUAACAUUUUCCACUUGUUUUUUUUUCGUAGGAGAUAGAUACAGACCGUAAAGAUGUCAAGAGGGAGGUGGAGGCUCCUAAGUUGAUCAUUUCUCGUCAUAGUGAUGAUAAAUUCUCAUCCUAGUGAUGAGAAAUGAGACUCGCCCACCGUCUGAAUAGCAAACAUGAGGCAACAUGCAAGUACCAGCCGAAAAUCAACUCUCUGAUGGUGUGAUAUGGUUGCCAGCCAUCGGUCAAAUAAGCAGCCAUUUUGUGUUUUUACAUUUAUGAAUCACAAUCGUACUGUAAUAAUAAACUAGUUACAUCUAUAUUUAUAUUUAUAGAUCGUUUUUACUUUAAUUAGCAUAUGUUUCAUUUAUAUUAUGCUAAACUCCUAUGAUAUGUGGAUGAGCCAAUUCACCGAUAUUUUGUUUCCUUUCAGACUUCACUUAAGAGAUCUACUCUUCCAAUUCAGCAUAUUAAACUUCUAAAAGCGCAUCUAAAACACUGUGGAAAGAAAUUGAAUUUAAUCUAAAUCGGCACAUAUGGAAAAACAUGGUGGAAAUAAUAAUACACAGUACACACAUUUAAAUUUUAGAUAUACUUAAAAUCCAUGGUACAAAAAUAUACUUGGAUAUAUUUAUAUUAAAUUUUACAUCCGGACGUAACGACUUAAAAUAUACUUGGUUCCAAAUUUAAUUAGGAAAUAAUGUACUGUCAGCCUAGGUAGGCGAGUUUUAAAUUCUAAUAAUCUACAGUACACACAUUUGAAAUAUAGAUAUACUUAGAAACCAUGGUAUACAAAAAAUAUGCUUGGAUUAAUUUAUAUAAAAUUUUACAUCCGGACGUAAUGACUAAAAUAUACUUGGUUCCAAAUUUAAUUAGUUUCCAAACUUACUAUUUACAACAAUAUUAAAUGACAAUAAUAAAAUAUACCGUGUACACAAAUUGUAAAUUUAUAUACGCUUGGAUUCAUAAUAUAAUUAAAUUAACGUAAUUUAAAACUUUGUAUACUUAACAAGUUAGCUAAGUAUAUAGAAAAAAUAACCCGUGUAUACAUAGCCAUUACAUUACAUAAAUGAGUAAACAUUUUCUGAAUCUGGAAAGUGCAAAACGCACUAAUUUAGCUAGGUGUACAUAAGCAUACCAUAUACUUAGCCUCCAUAUAUACUUAUAUUCCAAUUACAUCGUUCAUGGUGUACUUAGGGUACCUCGGUUUCCUUAUAUAAUUAUUUUCAAAAUAACAGCAGGAUAACAUUUCCAUAUAUACUACAUCGUAGAAGUAUACUUAGAUUUUUCAUAUACCCUAAUAAACCGCAUUAUAUUUGUUGCCAAAUAAACCGCAAAUCCAUGAUUAUGGUGACAAAUAUUUAGAAACCAAAUAACGGCCGUGAACUGUUGAUGGAAAGGUAUUAAAGACGCUAAAUUGAUACUCCUAAAUAUUUUGCAUGCAUGCACACGCUGUCAAUUACCAAACCUAGGUAUUAAAGACGUUACUAAAUAUUUUGCAUGCAUGCACAUGCUGUCAAUUUCCAAAUCAAAUGUACUUAACGGGUGAACCCGUUAAUCAAAUAUACAUGUACCGAUCAACUAGAUGAGAAUGUGAUCCAACGGCAGAUGUCAGUGGUGCCCGGGCACCAUGGAGCCCUAUCUGGUUUAGGGUUUAGGGUUUAUAUGUAUGUAAAAUUGAUCUGGAAUGUGGCGGUUACAUGGGCCUGAACUGAUGUGAGGAGAAAAUUUGUUCUACUUGCUAGGACAUGAUAUGAUCUGGACAUGAAAACGGAAAACGUGGAGCAAUUUGGGAGGGGGCGAUAUGGAGGAAUCGGACCGGAAAAUCGUAAAAAAAUACGCACAGGGAGGAAAUGAAAUUGGACUGCGCAGCGCAUUAUACUGGGACAACGUACAAAAAUACUUGGCAAAAGCAUCUUAAACAUUUAUGAUAGGUAAAGAUCUACAUAUUUCAAUAAAAAAAAGUCCUACCUAAAAUUUAAAACUAACUCAAAAUUUGAAAACUUUGAACUCUCAACAUGAAAUUUGAACUUUCAACUCGAAUUUUGAAACUUUCAACCUGAUUUUAAAAACUUUCAACUUGAAUUAUGAAAACUUUCAACUGGGAAUUUAAAAACUUUUAACGCGAUUAAAAAAAUUUCUAACUCAAACUUCUAAAACUUUCAACUCGAAUUAUGGAAAAUUUCAACUGAAAAUUCAUGAUCUUUCAACUAUUUUUUAAAACUGUGAACUAUCCUUAAAAAAAAUAAUUAUUGAUGUAUUUUUUUUAAAAAAAAUAUUACUCCAGUACAUAUUACCAUUAGCGCUAAUUAGGUCAUUUGCGGACUAAUCACCCCGGGUGCGGGCAUCCCAAAUAAAAGCCUUCGCUCCACCCGUCUACGUCUGUUUGUUGUAUUCCCCUUCCUUACCCCCAAAAUCGAAAUCCCUAAUUCGACGCCAUGGCCGCGACUGGCGGCGCCGCCGGGGAGAAGACGGCCAGCAGCCUCCUGCUCGGCGUCCGGGGCUACACGUCCACCCUCAAGAACGCCUCCACCGCCAGCUGCAGGUUGAGCGCCGGCCAUCCCAUCGAGGUGACUUUGUGGGAGGCGUCCCCGCCUGCCCUCUCCCACUUCUCCGUCCACUGCCCCGAUCUCCCAUCCUUCAAUGGCAAUGUGCUUCGCGUGCCUGAAGCCAUCGCCGCCGCCGUCGACGACGCCGACGGCCAGCUCCUCCUCCUCCUCCGAGUCCCCAUCGAUCAGCUUGGUGCCCCGCAUAACAACGACUACUUGGUCUACCAUCCGGAUCCCCCGUCUCCGAAACUGGAUCUGCUCCCCAACCCGCCUCCCCCUACCCUCGGUGACCACCAGCUCGCCAUACUCAGCUGCGGCGACGACCGCUACGUCGUGGCCGCCCUCCACGUCUGGAGUGAGUUCACUUCCACGCUGCGCCUGUACAGAUCUUCUUGUUCGUCUGGGAGUUGGACAUCGGAGGAGGUGUCCGUGGAGGAGCCGGUGAGGGACAGGCUGUGCCCGAUCCCGGACUCAGCCAAGAGGCAGCUGUACCACGUCACCACCAAGACCAUCACGCUCGGAGGUGCGAAGGGCACCGUGGGCUGGGUUGAUCUCUGGCGCGGCAUCCUCCUCUGCGACGUGCUCGACGAAAUGUCUCCAAGGAAGCUCCGCGACAUGCCGCUGCCGUGGCCGGCCAAGGGCAAUUGGAGGAGGUACCUCAAUGAAGAUGUGUCCUUCUGUCGGGACAUCGCCAUCAGCCAACACAAGGAUUCCAUCAAGUAUCUGGAGAUGGAGAUCGUUUCGCCAAGAACGGUGACCACCACCAUACCCACCUCCACCUCUGCAGAUCCUACUUCAUACCUUGAAUGGGUUCGCCGCAGCAGAGAACCUCAGCCGACACGGCGACGCUCCGUGUUCCACCCUGGUUCGUGGAGAAUCACUACAUGGAGCAUGCCUAUCCCGGUCACUUCAUGGGACGACUGGCGCCGUGACUGCACUGCUGAAUCGCGUGAAGUCCAUCUUGACACCAACCCAAGUCACCAUUACGAGUUGCUUCAUAGCCUCAUGCUCAGCAACAGCGGUGAUGAACACAGGGAGGAGGCUCAAGGUCAAGGGGCAACCUCUUCCUUGUCCCUAGGACGCCUGUAUUUGAGUCACCCGGCCUUGAGUUGCAUCGAUGAUGAUGUUGUUUACCUCUUGGGCAACGCUGCCGGCAGGGGUGCUAAGACGGGAGGAAUGAUGGUCGCUGUUGACGUCAGGAACAAGGAGCUGCGAGGAGUGGCCAAGCUUGACCCCGAAAAGAACACCCUCUACUCCAUGCGAUGCUACCUUGCAACUGGGAUCUCCAAACGCCUCAACACUACCACAGGUACUUAAUUACCGCUCGUAUUCCAGAACAAAUGCAGCACCAUGUGCAUAUGGGUAAUAAAAUGCCAUUUAAGGAUCUAGGGCUGAUCAUUAUAGUUCUUUGUUUAUGAUGGUCCGAAUGACCAAACUAGGACUAGAAUGUAGUAACUUUAUUUAGGGUGAUAGGCUUGAUAUGUUGAUACAAGGGCAGAACAGUACCAAGAGUCCUUUUGGCAGAGUAGUACCAAUACUCAUUAUGCAAUAUACUGUUUUGUGUGAGUUUCAGACAAACGUUGUGUUUCUGACUGUACUUGCAAAAACAAAACCUGAACUUUGUUAACAGAAUAAAGACACCUCCACUAAAAUGUCGACGACUAAUGCAUAAAAUUACUUGCAUUCUUCGUGAAAAUUCAUAGCAGUAAAUGUGUCGUCACUCUUGUUUCCUUGUCAUUAUGCGUGUAAUAUAUUUUGCUAGCAUGCAUUUAAAUAUGAAGUAAUUAAUCAAAGUGCAUUCGUACCAUGUCAAAAGAACAAGAGAAUAGAGCAAGUAAUAAUAAGGUAGUACUUGACCAAAGCAUACUUGAAAAAGUAGUAUAUUGCUUUAGGUUUUGCUUUUCCUGUUGUACUCAAUGUGGACAACAUGAAUGCUCUUCCUCUUGAGUACUAAUUCUUGCUUCAAGGACAUUUUAUGAGAUAAUAGCUAUUUUAUUUGAUGUAGACACAAGAGUUGGACGACCUGAGGAGGAUGCAGAAGCCGCCGAGUAGAAUGUGCGAACCCAGUGACAUAUAUGCAUCAUACUGCAGCCUGCCUGGAUGCAAAUAUUAUCGUAUCAGUGGUUUGUUGGCUUGAAUGGGGGUUAAGGAGUUGUGCUGUUGCUGGGCAUAUAUAGUUUUGUGACAAGAAUCUUAUCCAGGUUGCUUACUUUGGGUUGAUGAUAAAAGUAGGAGUAGACGUUAAUAACAUUAAUAUAUGUUGGCUUAUUUUUUGAGGGGAUGUUGGCUUAUUUAUGUGGCACUAAUUGUCUUUAUGCCUUUGAGUUAAACACAAAACAAUGAUCCAACUCUUUGAACCUGUUUGUUUCAAGUAAUGAGUUAAUGAAUUUUUCACCACUUGGAGUCCUCCCUCAAACUGGAUCUGCUCCCCGCUGCCUCAAACUGUUUUUUUUUUUUGAACGAAUGUGUUUUCUAAGUUCAUUCUCAGAACAAUGCCCGCCAUCAGAUUCAUCGACUAGCAUAGCAAGACAGUAUAACUUUUUACCAAAGAAAACUGAUUAUAUAGUAUAUAUAGAAUACUUGUCUUACACACAGUGACAAUCCAACAAUAUCUAUGCAACAGGAAUAAUAUGUUAGUGUGCAGAUCAUACCCUCUCAACUCUGAACUCUUCUGCAGCAGGGAGUUCAAGAUAUAUUUUGUACAUAGCUGACAGUGCACCAUUCCGGACAGCGGGACAGAGAAGCUCCAAUCAAAAGUCUCCGAUGUUCUGUCUUAUCUUCUAGGUUUUCGGGCUUGGCUCAAUUGGAAAGGCCCAAUUGAUUUUGGGCUUGAGUACAACCCAGCAUAAGGCGCCACCGAUUAGGCCCAAGCCCAACGUUAAGCCUUCAAGCAGAGGGAGAACCAAAAAAAAAAAAAAAAGUUCACUUCCGAUCCAGCGCCAUGGCCGCCGCCGCCGCGGAGAACGCGGCCAGCGGCAGCGUCCGAGGCUACACCUCCGCCGGUAAGAACGCCACCACCGCCAGUUCGAGAACGAGCACCGGCCAUCCCAUCGAGGUGCAUUCUGGAACGAGCCGCCGCCGCCCGCCUGCCCUCUCCCACUUCUCCGUCGUCCACUGUCCCGAUCGCCCGGAGUUGGACAUGCCAGGAGGUGUCCGUGGAGGAUCCGGUGAGGGACAGGUUGUGCCCGAUCCAUCACUCAGCUGAGAGAGCCAUAUGUACCACCUGACCACCAGCCAAGACCAUCAUGCUCGGAGGCGCAAAGGGCACCGUCGGCUGGGUCGAUCUCUGGCGCGGGCAUCCUCGUCUGCGACGUGCUCGACGAAAUGUCUCCGAAGAAGCUCCGCGACAUGUCUCCGAGGAGUGGCCAAGCUUGACACCACAAAGAACACCCUCACCUCCAUUCGAUGAUACCUUGCAACUUCCAUCUCCAAACAUCUCAACACUACUACCUGUAGUAUACUCAAUUAAUUACCGCUCCUUGUUGUCAUGUCUGUUAUUUGCGUGCUGUUCUACGAGAGAUUAAUCUCUUUGGCUUAAAUUUCUGUCUCAAUUCUUAACAUGCAUAACAGAUUUUAAUCGGUCAAUAUAUAAGUUAGGCUAAACUUUGUUGUGUUCCUUUGCUUGCCGGCAUGUAAGUUCCGAAGAAUUUUGUUUAAACUCUACAAUGUUUGGCCAAGAAAAUUUCUCAUAUCUAGCUAAGAAGAACUAAAAGGAAAAGAGCUGCUGCUCUUGUUCGCCAGUAAUCUGCAUCAAUGGAUAGUGUAUACUGAUCAUUCCGGCGUUGACAUGGCGAAAAGUAUUUUGUCAAUAGGAAGGAGGAGAAUCACACGCCAAGUGCAUGCAUGAUUUUUCAAUUCAUUUCAAGGCAAAGUUUCUAGACAAAGCUAGGUUCUCGAUAAGCCGGCCACUUUGAUUUGAUGACAAUUAGGUUAAUUAAGGCAAUCUUCUUGCCUUUCCUUUUCUAUCAAUAGUGGACAAAGGUGAGAGCUGAUAUUUAUUAUAUCCUGUUAGCCAUUCAGAAAGUGCUUUCCAUGACAUUCCAAACGAAAUGAUAUUUUUCUCAUGUUCAGUCGGCCAUGCAUCUUCAGUUUAACUAAACAAGACCAAAAAAAAAAAAACUUAUAUCCAACAUAAGAUAUAUAUGCCCUAUGAGCAUAAACGCACUCAGUGAUAAAAUAUACUAGUAAGAGGUAAAGCUAAGGUGAAUGCUGACAAGAGACAAGCCCAUCUGUCCCUCAAAGAUAACAAAUACUACUACUGACUGAAACAAAAUUAAAGCAUGAUAGCCACUUCUGAAUUUCUGAAUGGCUGAAGGGGAAAAAAAUUGAACAGGAUACUGCAUGCUGAUCGAGUUGAACAAGUAAGAAAAGGUGUUCAUCUUUGCAGAGACAAGAUCUAACACAUUUCUAACUGCAGAGGUAGUUCAUAGCAUCCAUCGAUCACCUACACACAAUAUCCUCUCUCAUGCCUGACCCCUGCACAAACGCACACCGGAUUGCAAAUACACAUAAUUUAGAUCUUUCUAAUGAUUUUGUAUCGUCAAAUAAUCUUGCUUGUUUUGGUCGACCUUCAGAAUUGAGUUGAUGAAGUUCGUCGCAGUGAGCUCUUUGUAGGCAUCACCAGUGCAGCAACCUCCUGUUUCAGCUGUCCAAGCAGAAGUACAAGUGCUCGUCACAUGAAUGAUCAAAUCACAACAUUUCAAAAGUAAUGAGUUAUUAUCAACUACUACCUCCAUCCCAGAAUAUAAGAACCUAUGGUCAGAUGGGAUGUUUCCUAGCACUACGAAUCUGGACAAAAAUAGAAAACGCAUCAUCCGAUUCUAGAUUCUUAUAUUCUGAGACGGUGGUAGUAAUUAAUUAGUGAUGUGAAGAUCACUUGUGAAUUGAAUUAGUGAUGAGUACCUCUUUGCACUGCUUCUUGAGAUUCAAGUUGUCAUCCACCAGCCGGCGAACCUCUUUCUCUAGCUCUUCAACGUACGCCUGCAUAACAAAUUACUUCACAAUUAAUACAAUCUGAAUCGUAUUAAUAUGACAGAACUGGAUUCAUUGACAAGUAGGCAGUCUGUUUUUUUUUUGGGGAUGCUUAUUGCCCUUUUGGUAGGUACAAAUGCAUGGUUAGUUCUGAAAUGGAGUACCUCUAGAGUCUAGAGAGGUUAGAUGGAGACGGUAAAAGGAGCUCCUCACUAGCAGCAGGUGUGAUCCAAUUAAUUCAUAGUGCAGUCCUAUUCAGAUGAUAGAUAGUCGAGAUAAUGCCAAGCUAGUUUUCAUAUUUUCCUCUUGUCCCGAUCAACUUAAGUUCUUUAUGCUUAUUUAAUUAGUCCGUACCUAACAAGAGAAGUAUAUAUUAGCGUGAGACUAUCUGUUAAAAUAUCUCAAGCAUACGAGGAAGACUUUUUCUUGGGGGCAGGAGUAGUUAAUUGUGAUGUAAGCUGAGUCUAACGUGGUGAUUAUAUUUUGGGAUACCUUGUGUCAUGCAUCGACCCAAAUAUAGUUAAUAUCAACUGGGACAUUAUGUUCAUUUCUUUUUUGCUUAGAAGGUUCGAUUUGUCGUUGUUAACAGUCUCUAUUUAAUCUGGAACUCUUACAAAUUCAGGGGCACCAAUUUUCUCUAAUGUUUAAUCAAGAAAGAGGAUACAUGUAGCAAUUAGCAAAUCAUUCAAGAAAAGAACAUAAUUGCACAUUCGUUUUUUCGAUGGUAAUUGUGUUAACUACUUAACUUUAGGAGUGAUUUGGGAUAUUUACUAUUGAUGAUCUAUUGAGUUGGCCUAAAGGGCAUAUAUGCGUACAAGGGAUGGAAAAUAUAUAUAAUACCCAUGACUACACUACUAUUGUUAACAAAUUGCACAUUCUUUUUUUCCGCACAUUCUUUUUUUAUUAUUAUGUACUAUUAAUUAGUGAUAUAUAUAUAUAUAUCACAAAUUUCCAAUAUGCAUGGAGAGACAAGUAGACACCAUGUCCACGAGGAUAUCAUACAUAUAUAUACACUCUCUGGUAUGGGCCCUUUCUGCUGGACUUGGAAUCUUGGAUUAGGUGAAGCUGACUUAAUUUUGAUAUUAAUUAUCACACAAGUGCCUGCUUGGAUGAUGAUAGACUGGUAAUAAAAGAAAGGGCACUAAUCAAAGAAGAGAUAUGCAUAUUUAGGCCAUAUUGACUAAACAUUAUCAACAGGAACCUAUGCAUGAUGCAAGAGAUAACACACUCCAUCAACUUUUUAGUUCUUUAACAAAUUGACCAAACUUGGUCACUAUACUCGAGAGUUUCACUCCAUACAGUAUCUGCCCAAGGUACACACAGAUAUCUCCUCCAUGCACCAUCAUCAAGGAUAUUAUGUAAAAUAUAUAGACUAACUCCUUUAUGAAAUGUAAUGAAAUUUGUUCAUAUAUAUUCAGUUGUGUAAACUAACCAGUUCAGCUCAGCUCAAAAACUUAACGAUGAAUAACGACGUGACUGCAAUUUACUGAUAAUUCAAUGUGCAAAUUAUAUAAUUUCGCCUGCUACAAACUUCUAUUGAAAACCUAAUUAAUUAAAUUAUCGCAUUCCAACAAUGACCUUAUAAGUGAUCGACUUAUUAGCAGCAUUUUAUUUUUGUGAAAGAUCCAGUUUUAAUUAAAUUCUAAUUAUAUUCAGUUUUUGAAAAGAGAAAUUUCCAUGUUAAUUACUCCCUCCGGACAUAAUUAAGUACAUGCCGGCCGUUUCAGACAAUUAAAUUGGCCUGCGUUUAAUAGAACGGAAUUGCUUUGUCGGAAAGCACAAGUAAUAUUGAUCGGAGAGAGUACAUAUGAGAACAUUUGUUGAUGAUCAGUAGUAAUUCAUACCGUACGUUAUAAACACAUACGUACAUAAAUACUGUAGUAUGAUACGUAUAAUUAUACGUAUUUGGUAUUGUAUAUACGUACGUACCCUCUUGCGCGCCCUGGAGCGAAGCGCGGACUCCCGGUUCCUCAUCAUCCGGAUGGUCCUCCGGUCGUCGCCGCUGCCGCCGCUCUGCUGCCGCACCUCCAUGUCCACCUCGUCGCCGCCGGGGGUACUGGCGCCGCCGGCGAUCCCGGCGAGCGACACCGGCGUGGCGGGCAGCGCGGCGCCGGCGAGGCGGACGCCGCCGCCGUCGUCGUCGUCCCUCAGGGUGGAGAUGGAGAAGAGGGAGCUGCAGCCGCUCAUGAUGCUCAGCUGCGGGCUGUCCGGCUCCCUCGGCCACGCCACCGCUGCCGCCGCCGCCAUCUGGUAGUACUCCUGGUGGUGGUAGUUCGCCAUGGCCGCACCCUGCACCUGCACCUUCUUGCUUGUAGCUGCAGGAUCCUUAAUUCGAUCGCCAACAGCUGCAGUUAGUGCUCCUUGCUUUUGGUUGUUGUUGCUAAGCUUGUCUCUGGCUCUCUCUCUCUCUCUCUCUCUCUCUCUCUGGAUGUCUACAUAUAUAUAUAUAUAAAUCAGACUUAAUUAAGCUAGCUUCAUGAGACAGCUAGCUCAACAGCUGCUAGCUUUUAAGCCUUUAAGUACCAACAGUGUCAUUAUGCGUGUAAUAUAUUUUGCUAGCAUGCAUUUAAAUAUGAAGAAGUAAUUAAUCAAAGUGCAUUCAUACCAUGUCAAAAGAACAAGAGAAUAGAGCAAGUAAUAAGGUAUUGACCAAAGCAUACUUGAAAAAGUAGUAUAUUGCUUUAGGUUUUGCUUUUCCUGUUGUACUCAAUGUGGACAACAUGAAUGCUCUUCCUCUUGAGUACUAAUUCUUGCUUCAAGGACAUUUUAUGAGAUAAUAGCUAUUUUAUUUGAUGUAGACACAAGAGUUGGACGACCUGAGGAGGAUGCAGAAGCCGCCGAGUAGAAUGUGCGAACCCAGUGACAUAUAUGCAUCAUACUGCAGCCUGCCUGGAUGCAAAUAUUAUCGGAUCAGUGGUUUGUUGGCUUGAUUGGGGGUUAAGGAGUUGUACUGUUGCUGGGCAUAUAUAGUUAGGCUGUGUUCGUUUGGACGUUUUCCCAGCGCCCUACAGUGUUUUGCCCCUCGCGCACGCUUUUCAAACUACUACACGGUGUAUUUUUUUGCAAAAAGUUUCUAUACAAAAGUUGCUUAAAAAAAUCAAAUUAAUCCAUUUUUGAAAAAAAAUUAGCUAAUACUUAAUUAAUCACGUGUUAAUGAACCGUUCCGUUUUCCGUGUUACUGUAGCGCGCUGGAAAAACGUCCAAACGAACACAGCCUUAAUAGUUUUGUGACAAGAACCUUGUCCAGGUUGCUUACUUUGGGUUGAUGAACCCCUCUAUAAAAGUAGUAGUAGACGGUAAUAUUAAUAUAUGUUGGCUUAUUUAUAUGGCACUAAUUGUCUUUAUGCCUUUGAGUUAAACACAAAACAAUGAUCCAACUCUUUGGACCUGUUUGUUGCAAGUAAUGAGUUAAUGAAUUUUUCACCACUUGGAGUCCUCCCUCAAACUGGACCUGCUCCUGAACCCGUCUCCCCACUGCCUCGGUGACGGUGACCAUGAGGUCACCAUACUUAAACAGAUGAUUUCCUACGCGUUGCUGCGGGAAUUGGUAUAAAACUUCUGUUAGCAAAUUUGAUGAUAAGAAAUUUAGGAGGCAUUAUAUUGGGUAUAUAUAAACAUGCUAGCUAUACCUUAGAUCAAAAUAGAACUGGAAAACAUUAUAAUUUAUAAGAAAAACUUAACAUACAGAAAAAAACUGCUUUGUUAUUUUGCAGGUGAUUGAAAAUCUUCAAUCUGUCAGUCGAUUUUUAUACCCAUUGCUUUUUUGGAAUGUGCAAAUUUUUAGCAAAAACUUUUGCAACUUUUUAGGAUUUAGCUGCAAGUUUUCGAAAACUAAAAAUUUGAAUGUUCUCAGUAAUGUUAUAUAUCAGAAAAAUGGCUGUAGGGCCAGUUCCGAACUGCUUGUGCUUUUUGCAUUUUGUUUUCUUUUUUUUUUAUUUUGCCACCCUUGAAUGCUUGCUGCAUUGUGUAUCUAGGUACCUAGAGUAAUAUUUUUUUUUAUUUCCGCACCCUUGAAUACUUGCUACUGUUGUGUAUCUAGGAAAUUUUCCUCUAGGUAUUUUACCUAUUUUUGUGAUUUUUCUAAGAAUAAAAAAAUGCAAUCAUGUGCAACUUAAGUUAUAAAUAUGCACAACUUUAGUUAUAAAUACGUGCAACUUAAGUUGCAAAUUAAUGAGAAUUCUUAGAAUAUUUUGGUUUAUUUCCCAGCAUAAGUUUUGUUGUCGGGUUUUUUCCUUAAUUGUCAGUCACAUACACUUGCAAAAUGCAUAGACUAAACUUGCAGAGUUUAACAUCAUUUACUUAAGAACAAAUACCUAGUUCUGUUCUUGUUGCUUCCAUCCAAUUUCCAAUUGCACAAUGCAUAGACUAAACUGGCUUGUACUGAAGAAUCUGUUUGUCUUUUCAGUUCCUUGGUUAAUCUUUUAUUUGUAUGCAAUUUUGGUUGUAUGGAUGGUGAUUUUUUUUUGUUAUCUGCAUGUUUCGCUGUAAUUGAUGGUAUGAAUCUUUUUUUUUUGUUUUGCUAUGAGAUGAUUGCAAAUUUGUUUUGACAGGGAUAUAUAGAGUUGUUUUUUGCUAGACUGUACAUCUACUAGCAUUUUUUGUUGGGAAUGAACACCUUUUGUACAUAAGAGUUGGAUACUAUUUUGUGAUUCUAGAAGAGCUGGACACUAUUUAGCUUGAUUUUCUUCUGUACAUGCAGCUUCCGUCCAAUAUGCAAUGGCAUGAACUGGCGAUAUGUUUUUUUUUUCCGGGGAGAGCUGGCGAUAUGUUGCAACUUGCAAAUGCUAGUAGGUUUUGUUAUGCUUGCCUAAAAGAAGUUAGUACUUGACAUACUAAUAAUAAGUAAAGUCCCAACGUUUACUAUUUUAUCUCAGUUUGCUUCUGUAGCUGUUGAGUUUGCUUCUGUAGCUGUUGCUUCCAUCUAAUUUGCAAUGGCAUGAAAUGGCUUGUACUGAAAUAUUAUGCUUUUGGACUGGUGAUAUGUAGCAAGUGCUAGUAGGUUUUCUCGUGUGCUUGAAAAAUGCUUGUACUAGGCAUAUUAAUAAGGAGAUUCAAUGUGUAUGUAAUCUAACCCUCACUAAGCGUUGAAUGCUGAGCGAUUCAGAGAACAUAUUUUUCUUUUCGAUCGAGUGCAUUUGCACCCUCCAUCCCAAAAACAAUACUUUUUAACCAUGUGCAACUUCAAUUAUAAAAUUGUGAAACUUCACUUAAAAUUUUGUAAAGCUUUGAUUUCUUAAUACAACCUUUUUUGUUUUUGUGUGUCUAAGCAUGGAAUCCAGGCUUAAAUAUGUUUCAGUUCUACUUAGGUGGUAUGUUUUUCCCCACAAAAUUAGUGAAACGUGUCUGAAAUGCUCAGAAGAUGAAUUUGUUAGCAAUUAGCAACAACGUGAACGUGGAAUGAGUUUGGAUGCGUGAAUCAGGAUGGGUGCGUCGAGGGGAUUUUUUUUUGGUAGAUAGAUAUUGGCUGUUUAUAUAGUUGAAACUCCAACUUUACGUCGAGUUAACCUGUCAUCCCUUAUCUUUACGUCGAGUUUGUAUGACAUUCCUAAUCCACGAUACUAGAAAUCUUCAUCCCCUAAAUUAUAUAAAACAGUGUAAUUUAGAUUAUAUAGCAGUAUAUAAUGUUGGAUAGUACAGGGAGAGAGGAUAUUGCGAAUCGUGGAUUGACUGUAUUGAGCCUCAGAGGGCUGAUAUACAUAGGAGUACAUGGAGAGGAGAUAAGGAAGGAUUACAGAUAUAGGAGUCUACACAAAUCAAUCAUAUCCUAAUAUGACUCUAACAUCCCCCACAGUCCAAGCGUGAGCAGCGUGGACACUUGGACUGGAGAAGAAACCGGCAAGAGUACUCAAUACGGAUGAUAGCCCUGUGUACCGUAGUCAAUGUAGCCAAAGCGAAGGGUGCAAGGGAGCCGUAGUUGAUGAAGCCGUGUGUAGAGUAGCCGUGGUCGUUGUAGCCGAAGUCAGGAAGCUGAUGUCGAGGUAGCCGAGCCGCAGGACGCGCAUAGGGCGCCGUAGAGUGGUCGUGGACGCACGGGAGGGGCGUCGUGGACCAAGGUGCGCGAGGAUGCACUGGAGACGAAGACGGUGACACAAUCACGGCAGUCGUUGAGGAAGAUGACGCCGAAAAGCCGAUGUAGUCGAACCGUGAAGGACGAGACGUCACACAGGGUGUCACGCCCCGAACCAGUCCCGACCGGAACUAGCCCGUGACGCUCCAAAUUAACCUGUUAAUCGAUACCAGUCCCAGGAAACAGUGCUGGUAUCACAGGGAGACAGAAUAUCACAGCAACAGAGGUCUCUUUAUUAUAGAGUAGAGGUACAGUCAUGUUGGGCUGCGGACAGAUCCCGAGCUCACAACUGCAUUACAAAAGGGAAACGGAAGCCAGGACUUGGACCAAUCAACACAGGCGCGACUUGGGAACUAGGCUGAAACCCUAAAACUCAUCGUAGCCGGCUUGCUCCUGGAAGAAGUCCUCAUCAGCAGGUUUCGCUUCAUCUUUUUCAGCAACUGGGGGGGGGGAUUUUUUAUAUAGAGCAAGGGUGAGUACGGGAGUACUCAACAAGUGUCACGCCCCGAACCAGUUCCGGCUGGAACUAGCCCGUGACGCUCCAAAUUAACCUGUUAAUCGAUACCAGUCCCAGGAAACAGUGCUGGUAUCACAGGGAGACAGAAUAUCAUAGCAACAGAGGUCUCUUUAUUAUAGAGUAGGAAUAUAGUCAUGUUGGGCUGCGGACAGAUCCCGAGCUCACAACUGCAUUACAAAAGGAAAGCGGAAGCCCGGACUUGGACCAAUCAUCACAGGCGCGACUUGGGAACUAGGCUGAAACCCUAAAACUCAUCGUAGCCGACUUGCUCCUGGAAGAACUCCUCGUCAGCAGGAUCCACUUCAUCUUCUUCCGCAACUGGGGGGGGAUUAUUUAUAUAGAGCAAGGGUGAGUACGGGAGUACUCAGCAAGCCAGGGGAAAAUAAGUGUUUAAUGCAGGCUUCAAGGAAAGGCUGUUGUUUUUGCAAUUGAUUUUAUUUGAACUCUUUUCUAGAAGCAACUAAGUGAGUGCUUCUCAAACGACACGGAUGAGGCAGUGCGUCUCGUCCGGUCGGAGUAUGUGCAAUGUAUCAGUCUUUAGAUUUGAACAAGAUUGGCACCCGGCCAAUAGCUUUUUAAACGGCCACCCGGGCCAACACCUUUCAAACGGCCACCCGGGCCAACAACUUUUCAAACGGCCACCCGGGCCUAGCUGAUCCCGUCAGCUGCGGAUUCUUUUCAAACAUCGAACCCGAUUUCACAUCAGCAAUUUCACAAGCAGUAGUCAAACAAAACUACGCUAGGAAUCACCUCACAUCCGCCCAUGACCGUGGGCACGGCUGUUCGAACAGUUUGUUAACCUCUGCAGAGGGGGUACACUUUACCCACACGACAUUACUAACCCGGGUCACCCAGCCCGUGGGGAUCAGCCACGUCGGGAGACCUCCAAGCUUUCAUGACAAGGCAUUUCGAAAGCCGACACAGGUUUACCAUAUGCCGACGAGAGGGGUCCCAGACCAACAACAGGUUAGGUCCCAGACCAUACUGUGCCAGGAAGCCCAGGGGUCCUCCCCGACACCACCCCGGCGAAUCCACAUGUCUCUCGGCAUCAAGGCUCCCCUGAUAAGCUAGUUACUCAGCCAGGGGUGUCCCAUUCCACCCAUGUGGUCGUACUUGUCUUAUGUUUGGAUGAAAUUCCAAGGAAUCGGUCCUUAAGUGCGAGAGCGGGAAACCGUACACCCGGUACGUUCCCCGGUCCGCGGAUUUGGAAAUUCAUUUAGUUCGCAAGCACCGACCCAGGUGUCGGGUUUUCCAAGUCUUUUGUAAAACUCCAGUUUUACCCAAGUUGUUACUUCAGAUUUUAAAUUUGAAGGCGACCGUCGAUAUUCGCACAGAGUGCACGAAUAUCGCGUCGCAUCUGGGUGGUUACAAGGGGACAUGGUGUAACAAUUAACAACGGAUGGAUCAAAUGCAACAAGUUAGGUAGGUCCGCCAAUCUGCCUUGCAGACGGGACAACAGAUUAAGUGUGAUCCUAUCAAUGCAUAAUAUUUUGCAAGCAAUAUAAUUAAAUUUCAAAUAUAGGCUCAAGUUGUUCAAAGGUGGCUUGCCUUGCUCGAGAUCUGGAGCUUGAUCCUCGAAAUCCUCGCACUGCGGGUCUUCGGGCUCCGAAACUACACGCGAAACGGGACAACUCAACAAACGGCGAGAAUAAAGCCCUAUUAAUGACCCCUAAGCGUGCCAUUAGAUAGAUCUCGAGAUUUGGGAAAUUUUGGAAGUUGAACGGAGUCAAAUGGAGUUAUGGUUGGAAAGAUAUUGAAUUUCUAAGGUUAUUGGAUUUUUGGUCUAAAGGAAAAAGGAUUUAAUUAAAUCCCUUUUGGAAAAAGAAAAAGGAAAUGAUGAAGGGAGGGAAUCUAGACUUUCCUCGGGCGGCUAGGGCGCGGCCCAAAGGUAUUCGGCUCGGUCCGGCCGAGCUAAACGGGCCGGACGGCCCAAGGCGGCCCAUUUACGCGCGCGCGCGGGAGAGGAGAGAGAGAGAGCCGGUGGACCGGGCUCACCUCGCGCGGCCCCGGGUGGGACCCGCUUGUCAGCGGCUCGGCCCACCGUGCGGAGGGAGCACGCGGCGCAUGCGCGCGGGCGGAAGGGGGAAAGCGGUGUACGCGCGGUUUACGGAGGACUCGGGUGCGGCGGGCCCACGCGCAGCCUCACGGCUUGCGGUGGAACGCGCGCACGGGGAGGGAUCGGCCGGGGUCGGCCCGUCCCGAGCUCAGCCGAGCUGGCGCCGACGUGGCGCUUACGUGGCGGCCACGUGGGCUGGCAGGAGGUAGACGACGACCGACCGCAAAUGAACGGCGGGCGACGGCGGCGAGCGGUAGAGCGGGCCACGGCGAUACCGGCGAAGGCGAGCACGCCGGGCGGUAGUACGGGACGAGAGGAGACGAGCCAACGGCUCGGAUUCGCCGGAGGUUGCUCGGCGGCGGCGGAUUGCGGCGGCGGCAACCGGCGGCGGGAGAAGAGGGAAACGGCGAUGAGGCCACGAGAGGUCGAUUUCCGGCGGUGAGAGCAUCUACAAGGCCACGGGAACUCGAUGCUAGGGUUGGAUUGGACGGAGCUAUGCCGAGCUGGGCUGGCGACGUGCGGCUACUUCGGAGCUCGGGCGGCGACGGCGGCGAGCACAUGGCGAACAACGGCAUCGGUCGGGGCGGCGCCGGCCAACUACGGGAGGUCUACUCGAGCUAAAACCGAAGUCUAAGGGGGGGAGACGGAGCGAGGAGGGAGAACGAAGCGAAACAUCACCGCGGGAAGGAGGGGCGCUGUGACGAGAGGCCGACGGCGCGGGAGUGAUCUCUCCGGCCUCGGGCCGGGGAAGAGGAAGAAGAGGCGCGGCCGGAGUCCUCUUCGGCGUCCUCGCUCGUGCCGGCUCCUCCGACACGCGCGGCGACGUUUGGAGACGGCGAAAAUAGAGACGGCAGUGGAGGAGGCGAAAAUGGGGAGGAAAGGAGAAGGGGAAGGCCGGGGGUUUAAGGAGGCGGCAAUGUCGGUUUGGGGAACCGACUUGCGCGGUCAAGAGCGCGAGCUGGCUCUCGGCUAGCGGCCAAAGCGGUGGCAGACGGGAUGACGCCGGCGGGAGAGGAAAAAGGAGGAAGGGGAAAAGGAGGAGGAGAAAGGAAUUCUCUCCUUUGCCGAUUCGGGAAAAAGAGGGUGGGCGCGGGGCGACGACGCGGCAGAGGGAGGUGAGGCACGGCCUCCGGGCCUUGGCGGCUAGCGCGCGGAGUGGCGGGGGCCGGCGAUGACGACGGCGGGCGGUUUGGAGCGGAGCGGCGACAGCGGCGACUGGCGCGGGCAGAGCUGACGGCGGCGGCGACCGGGCGGUCGGCCACUCGGCUUGCGCGGGCGCGAGGCAACGGGCGACGGCGCGCGGGGGAGGGAAAAGCGGGGCGCGGGCGGCUCACGCGCGCACGCGCGCGGCGCGCGGGCAAAGCGGCGGGAUCGGGAGAGAGCGAGGGAGCGCGAGGGAGAGAGAGAGAGAGAGGGAAAAGGGCCGGGGAGAGAUGGGCCGGGGGAGGCAAGGUAGACUUUGCGGAGGAAAUGAUUCGGAAGAUUUGGAUUCGGAAUUUGAGCUCGACGAUAGAUCGGGGAUUGAGAUCUUGAGAUGGCACGGACACUAGACAACAAUCAAAGGAACAAAUUUCGCAAUUAGGGUUUUUGAGAGAUAAUUUUCCCGCUAGGCGCCACGACGGAACGGGCGCUACAACAAGCCAUGGGAAAUAAGUGUUUAAUGCAGGCUUCAAGGAAAGGCUGUUGUUUUUGCAAUUGAUUUUAUUUGAACUCUUUUUUCUAAAAACAACUAAGUGAGUGCUUCUCAAACGACACGGAUGAGACAGUGCGUCUCGUCCGGUCGGAGUAUGUGCAAUGUAUCAGUCUUUAGAAUUGAAACAAGGUUGGCACCCGGCCAACAGCUUUUCAAACGGCCACCCGGGCCAACAACUUUCAAACGGCCACCCGGGCCUAGCUGAUCCCAUCAGCUGCAGGUUUUUCAAACAUCAAACCCCUUUCCACAACAGCAAUUUCACAAGCAGUAGUCAAACAAAACUACGCUAGGAAUCACCUCACAUCCGCCCAUGACCGUGGGCACGGCUGCGGGUCUUCGGGCUUCGAAACUAUACGCAAAACGGGACAACUCAACAAACGGCGAAAAUAAAGCCCUAUUAAUGACCUCUAAGCGUGCCAUUAGAUAGAUCUCGAGAUUUGAGGAAUUUUGGAAGUUGAACGGAGUCAAACGGAUUUACGGUUGAGAAGAUAUUGAAUUUCUAAGAUUAUUGGAUUUUUGUCUAAAGGAAAAGGAUUUAAUUAAAUCCUUUUUGGAAAAGAAAAGAAAAGAAAAGAAAAGAGGGAGGGAAAAUAGACUUUUCCUCGGGCGGCUAGGGCGCGGCCCGAGAGAAUUGGGGCGGUCCGGCCGAGCUAAAUGGGCUGGGCGGCCCAAGGCGGCCCAAGACGCGCGCGCGCGGGAGGGGAGGAGAGAGAGCGCCAGUAGACCGGGCUCACCACGCGCGGUCCCGAGUGGGACCCGCUUGUCAGCGGCUCGGCUCGCCGUGCGGAGGGAGCACGCGGCGCACGCGCGCGGGCGGGGAAGGGAUGCGGUGCACGCGCGUGGUCCGCGGUGAAACGGAUGCGGCGGGCCCACGCGCAGCCUCACGGCUCGCGGUGGAACGCGCGCACGGGGAGGGGCUGACCGGGGUCGGCUCGACCCGGUCUUGGCCGAGCUGGCGCCGACGUGGCGCCUACGUGGCUGCCACGCGGGCUGGCGGGAGGUAGACGACGACGCCUGCCGGAACGGACGGCGGUCGACAGCGGCGAGCAGCGGAGCGAACCACGGCGAUACAGGCGAAAGCGAGCACACCGGGUGGUUGCUCAGGUCGAGGAGAGACGAGCCAACGGCUCGGAUUCGUCGGAGGGAGCUUGACGGCGACGAAUUGCGGCGGCGGCAAGCGGCGGCGGGAGAAGGGGGAAAUGGCGACGAGGUCACGAGGGGCCAAUUCCCGGCGGUGAGAGCAUCUACGCGGCCACGGGAAUCCGUUGCUAGCGUCGGAUUGAGCGGAGCUACGCCGAGCGAGGCCGGCGACAAGCGGGUGCUACGGAGCACGGGCGGCGACAGCGGCGAGCACACGGCGAGCGGCGGCAACGGUCGGGGCGGCGCCGGCUAGCUACGGGGAGGCUACUCGAGCUACUACCGAAAAUUUAGGGGGAGAGGUGGAGCGAGGAGGAAGAACGGAGGGAGGCACUACCGAGAUGAGGAGGGGCGCUGUGACGAGAGGCCGACGGUGCGGGAGUAAUCUCUCCGGCCUCGGGCCGGGGAAGAGGAGGAAGACGAGCGCCCGGAGUCCCCUUCCGCGUCCUCGCUCGUGCCGGCUCCUCCGACGCGCGCAACGACGAACGGCGUCGGCGAAACAGAGGGGCGGCAACAAUGGAGUGGAGGCGAUGGGAGGAGAAGAGAGGGAGGGCGCCCGGGGCUUUAAAGGGCGGCAAUGUCGGUUUGGAAACCGACUUGGGCGGUCAAGGCGCGAGCUGGCGCUCGGCGCUCGCGUCCAAAUCGGCGACAGGGCGGAGGGAGGAUGACGCCGGCGGGAGGAAAAUGGGAAAAGGAGGGAGAGAAAGGGGAGCUCGCCCUUUGCUUCUUUGGGAAAAGGAGGAGGGGAGCGGGGGCGACGCGGCUGAGGGAGGAGGGCUCUGCCUCCGUCCCUUGGCGGCUUGCGCGCGGAGUGGCGGGGCCGAGGCGAUGACGGCGGGGCGAUUUGGAGCGGAGCGGCGACACGGGCGACAGGCGCGGGCAGAGGCUGACGGCGGCGGCGACCGGGCGGUCGGCCACCACGGCACGCGCGCGCGGGAUGCAACAGAAGGCGCGGCGGAUUGAGAGGCGCGGCUCGGGCACGCGCGCUGGCUGCGGGGCCGAGCGGCUGCGCGGCCGCAGGCGCGGCAGGGCAGCGGGGCCGGGCGGCGCAGACGCGACGCGGGCGAGGACCACGCGGGCGCGCUCGCGCGAACGAGCGCGGGGAGCGGCAGCGAGGGAGCGGAGAGAAGGGCUCGGCUCGGCGCGGGCGGCUCACGCACACGCGCGCAGACAGAGCGGAGGAGGGAGGGGCGCUUGGCGCGGCGGCUCACGCACGCGCCGGCAGAGCGGAGGGACGAGGGGCGCUCGGCGCGGCUCCCGCGCACGCCCGCGCAACGCGCGGGCGGAGCGGAGCGGAGUGAGAGGAGAGAGAGCGAGAGAGAGAGGGCGCUGGGGAGGGAGGGGGAGAUGGGCCGAGAAAAAUUCGGCCCAUCGACCCCGGGGGAGGCAAAAUAGACUUUUGCGGAGGAAUUUGAUUUGGAAGGAUUGGAUUCGGAAUUGAACUCGACGAUAGAUCGGGGAUUUGAGAUCUGAGAUGGCACGGACACUAGACAACAAGCAAAGAAACAAAUUUCGCGAUUAGGGUUUUUAAGAGAUAAUUUUCCCGCUAGGCGCCACGACGGAACGGGCGCUACACAGGGUUUGCCAGACCCCGGGACAACUCGGGACGAACGCGCACGCCAGUGUUUCCAAUACCGCGUGGGCGAGGCAGGGGACCACCAUGAAUCAUAAGCCAAUGUUGAAGGAGACUAGCAGAGAAGACCUCCGGAACGGUCGCAACGCGAGAACGACGUAGAGGGAGAAUUGCCGGAGCAGCAUGUAGUUGUCGGAGAAGAGCAAAGUGUAGUCGAGGAAGAUACGGCGACACUGGCGAUGAAUCAUGAUGGACGAAAAAGAAGGCGAAGUAGCGGAACCAACGGCCUAGACGGCAACGUCAGUAGCCAUGUAGAGGUAGCUGGACUACCGGCCUAGAGCGGCGACGGUGGCAACUUGGAGACGCGGCGGCGAUGCUCGAAGUAGACAAAGAAGAUCCGAGUGGCUGACGAUGACCAAUGCGGACGACGAGGGUGUCGAAGCGCUAACGACGAUGAAAACGACGAAAGCGGCAAAGUUGUGGUUCGAGAAGACAACACAACUGCAGUUCCAUGUCGAUGCAGCGGCGAGAAGUCCACUGGUGAUGUAGCCAUGCUAAGGAGGGCGCCUGUCAGCACUGCAACAACCAGUGGAGGUGUGGACCACAGGCAGCGGAACUGCGGCCCUAGGGGGGCGACGCAGCGGCAGCCCGAAGCUUGAUGGCGUAGACGCGUAGUCGAAGAUGAUUAGCAGCAAGGUGUCGUCGUAGCCGGCCGUUUGAACGGGUGAUCAAGCCGAUGAUGCGUGGGGUAGAACGACGAAGUGGAAGCCGAAGCUCUGAUACCAUGUUGGAUAGUAUAGGUAGAGAGGAUAUUGUGAAUCGUGGAUUGACUGUAUUGAGCCUCAGGGGGCUGGUAUAUAUAAGAGUACAUGGAGAGGAGAUAAGAAAGAAUUACAGAUAUGGAAGGAGUCUACACAAAUCAAUCAUAUCCUAAUAUGACUCUAACUACCAUAUACUCUAACAUAUAUGUCCAGUUUCGUUGAUUUGACAUCCUACUCAGCAAAUAAAGAUAACAAAAAAAAUACGUGGGAGCCCACAUGACAGCUAUCCUCCUCUUUCUUCUCUUUUCUUCCCAAAACGCGGCUGGCGAAGAAGGUUGUAACAUCCCGAAAAUUUCGAUUCUGAAAUACGGAAUUAAAAACUCAGAAUAAUCAAAAAUCUUUUUAAAACCUUUUUGCAUGCUGGGAUUUAUUAUGCAUUUGUGUGUAUUUAGGUUGUGUGCUAAAGAUCUCGAUUAAAUCAUAUCUCCUAAAGGGACGCCCUCAGUCCAACGUCCUUUCUUUCCCAUAUCUUCACGGUCUGAUUUAUUAAGUGCUACCAAAUCACAGAAUAUUUAACCUGAAAAUCUUCCCUUAUGUCGCAGCACGACAUAUCUUUCUCAAUUCUUACCCUCCGGUUAUUUCAAACCGUUGUAUUAAUUCAACUCAAUAAAUCCUUCGAAUGUCUACAAUUGAUCGGCGUAUUUAUUUAUUGUGUGUCAAUUCAAAUAUAUUCAAUUCUAUUCCUACCGCGACGAUUGGAUUUGUAUGCCAUGCGUCGUCCCAAAAAUCACUGUUUUGUUUCCGUCGCCCGUUCGUGCAAAGCGCUCACGACGAAAUCCUAAGACUGCCGAUGGAAUUGUUUAUCGGGCGUCAUCCCUAAUUCCCUGUUCGAAGAUGCGGUGUAUCAUCCAAGCAAACCAAAUCUCGUAUUGCAGUUCAAUAAUCCAAUCCUUGUGCAUAUUCUAUUUCUAAUACCGAUCCAAGUCCAGUCCAAUUGUACAGUUCCAUAUAUACAGUCUGAGUACAGAGCCAAAAUAAAUGUUCAAAUUACAGUCCCAUUACAAAUACACUGUAUGUGUGCCAGCUCAAAUACAGACGCCAUUCCUUUUCAAAUCCCUACAAAAUACAAAAGCUCCUAUUACACUUGGGCCAUCUCCCCCUCUGCUAGCACAGCCCAUUUCACCACACAAGUCCAUUAUUCCUCCCCCAGCCGACUGACAGCCCACCCCUGUGCACUUGCUCAGCCAACCACCCAAAGUCUGCUUUGCCUGCCCUGCCCAAAACAACCAACAGACAUGCACAGGAGGUGCUCGACAUAAGCCCACAAGACACUACAGCACUUUGCACCCACCUUUGCCGGCUCACAACAGUAGCUAAUAAAUACCAGGGUCCCUCCCAAACAACAUCCCAUGCACCCAUGAUCCCAAUUCACAGGACCCUCCCCAAAGCACCAACAACACAGGAGACACAAAUCCACACUAAGAUGAUAAACCGAGUUCACCGAAAAAAACAUGCAUGUAUUGCUGUCCUAUUCCCUCAGCCGAACACCUGCAUGCACAGAACGUGUUCGAUCAAUUGCCCACAAGCCACCACAGUGAAUUGAACCUACUUUUGCAGCUACCAAAUGACAGGGGUCCCUCCACAACAGCAGCAACACAUUCACCAUGAACCCAAUCCACAAAACCCUCCACUAAAUACAUGCCACCACAGAACCAAGUUCACUGAGAAGAGCAACACCAAGUUCACACCGAAAAGUGGCAAAGCCAAGUACAAUGGGCCAUGCGUACCUGGUACUGUGGCGAUGUCGACGUUUCGGCACUGCUCCCUGCCCACCCUCACAUUGCCUCCCAUGCUCAGGCAGCCAGCAAAGCUAUAUAAACCCUACCAAAGACAGCAGCAGCUCGGCUCCUCUCCAUUUCUUCUCCCUUCUCCCAACUCGAGCUCUGCCAUUGCCACUCCUCCAUCUCGCGCACAAGCUGCCUGCCACCUCUCCGCUUGCUCCGCCACAGCCGGCUCCGGCUGGGCCUCAGUUGAGCAAGAGGACAGGAAGGCCGCCGCGCCAUUGAAUGACCUGAGAACGACUAACCCCUAACAUCUAACCCUUUGUUGUUCUGUUGCACUAACUCACUAACCCGCUGACUCUUUAUUUUCUGUUUCACUAACCUCUAACACACUCGGUUUGUUUACACGAGGGAAUUGAUGAUGAGAUUAAGAUGGGAAUUUGAUUUUUAAUCCCAAUAUCUUGUUUGGUAGUGGUGAUAGAAAUUGAUAGGGAGUUUAGUUGGAGAUUAGAUCAUUAAUAAAAACGGAUGGUCGAGAUUUGCUUAGACAAAGUAAAGGAGGAAUUUCCUCCCAAUUACCUGCCCCUACCCAGCUAUUGAAAAGGAGGGAGUUCCUUCCUCAAUUCCUCAUCUCCAUCUCACCAAAAUUCUCAUGUCUCCCAACUAAACAAGACACUUAAUAGCCUCAUCCCUCUAAACUCCCAAUCCCUACUAAAAACUCCCUCCAACCAAACGGGCCGACUGACCCCUUGUAUUUUCCGUUUCACUGACCUAUGACUCGCUAACACGCUAACCCCUAACCCUUAUCUCGCACUAACCCACUGACAUUUAUCCCCUACACUGCCGCUUCGUCACCCGCGCCAUAUGCGCGGCAUCGCCGUAUCACCUCCACCUCGAACCGCCACCCUCCUGCCCCGACGCCGCUCCCCCCUUUGACUUCCGUGCCGCCUCCCUUCCCCCAUGGCUGCGGCGCCGCGCACGGGCGCUGCCCAACCGCGCCGCGCCGUCGCCAGACCGCAGCCGUCACCACGCCGACGGCCUCCCCUCCAUUCCACCUCACUACCGCCGCCCCCAUCUCCCAUCCAUCCCCGCCGCUAGCCACCACCUGGCCGCGCUGCGCCGCCCCCGACCGCCACUUCGCCGCCCCAUCCUCCCUCCUCGGCCAGGCCGCCUCCCCACCGCGCGUCGCCCCGCCACCAACGCCCCCAGGCUGCCACCCGGACGCCACCGAGCCGAGCCGCGCCAGGCCAUCGCGCCGCUGCCCUCAGCCACCAUACGCCGGCCCUCCCCUCUCCAUUCCCCGCCGCCGCGCCAGCCCACCCUGCAGUCGAGCACCACCUCACCGCCGGUCCGCCGCACACCGCCCCGACGCCGCCGCCCCCGCCCCUCUCACCCGGAGGGUUUGCAAUUAUGACACUGCAAACAUUAACCUUUGCUAUAAUGACACUGGACCUAUAUUUUAUAAACACAGAUAGACCCAUUUGUUAUUCACUCGGAGUGUCAAAACAGCGAAGCCCUAUAUUUGCAGUCCAAUAUUGCAAUGUGCGCGGGAAGCAGAGAAGAGAACGAGAAGAAUUGAGAAAGAAGGAAGAAAGGGGAUAAGAAAGAGAGAGAAUAGAGGAAGAAAAUUUAGAGGAAAAGAAAAGGAAGUGGGACCCGCAGUCUAGACCCUUCCUCCCUGAGUUGACUUCCCCCAUGGAAGUCUAAAUCACUUCCCUGUACUUUAGUGUGUAAGUCCAAAGGACCAGGCCCUCUUAUGAAGUCUAUUUACCUCCUAGCAGAGGGAAAAGUACACGCAAGGUCCCUCAACUUGUUAGCCAGAUACAAAAUCGUCCCUCAACCGCAAAACCGGACAUCCGGCGUCCCCCAACUUACAAAACCGGUCACAAAAGGUCCCUCGGCGGUUUUGACCCCGGUUUUGUUCCACGUGGUGGCUGACUCAGCGUGGGACCCACGUGGGCCCCACAUGUCAGUAAGCCAUGUCAUCACCUCUCUCUAUCUUUCCUCCCCCUUCCUCUCUCUCUCACUUAUCUCCUCUCGACAGGAUGGGCGGCCCGGGCGGUGGGUGGGGAUGUCGCCGGGGUGAGGCGGGAGAGGAGGUCCGACGAUCGCCGACCGGCGACGCGGCGGCGGCGACACGGGAGAAGGGAAGGGCGGCGGCAGCCCAGCGCGGUCGCGGCGGCCAACAGACAGGCAUGGGACGGGCGGCGUGAAGGGCGGCAGCGGCGCGUGGUUGUAGACGAAGCCGAGGAAGACGGCGUCGACGUCUCCCCCAGCCUCAGCCACCGGGGAAGGAGCUGGGCACGGGUGGCAGCCGUCGAGGGCAUCGUGGCUUCGGUCCUCGAGCGCCAUCAUGGUGUCGCCGUCGUCGCCGCAUUCCUCCCGUCUCGCCGCCACCGCCAAGCCGACGCCGACGCGUUCCUCCUGCCUCGUCGCCACCGCCCAGCCGACCAGCUUGGCCGCUGCGGUCGCCCGCCGCUCCUUCUCGUCGGCGAGCACGGAGAGGAAGCUGACGCCGCCGCCUUGCUCCCCUCACCGCCGCCACCGCCGCCUUGCUCCCCUGAGCCAACGCCGACGCAUUCCUCCCGCCUCGAUGCCGACGCUGGCCUCCCCGUGCCUCCCUGCCAUCGUCACCGCGUUCCUCCCGCCUCGCCGCCGGAUUUGGACUUGGGAGGAGCUCACCGGCCUCCCCGCGCCUCCGCCGGCCGCGCGUGUGGCUCCAGCUUUGCCGCCGCUCCUCCUCUCCGCCGAUUCUUCCCCGUCGGCCGUGCCGACCCUCUUCUCCACCGCGUCGGUGACGCCGCCGCAUCGGCCCUUCUCUCCGCGUCAGUUAUGAUGGCCGUAGCCGCGCGCCGCCAUCGCCGACCGCACGAGGGGGACGGGGAGGCCGGCGAACUCGCACCGCCCUGAGCCCGCGCACCGCCACCCGGGAGCCGCCGUCGCUAGCCGCACCACCUUUCGGCCGCGCGCGCCGCCGCCUGUGCGAGAGCAAAGAGCGAGAGGAAGGAGAGAAAUAGAGAAAGAGAGAUAGGGUGCUAACGUGGCUUACUGACAUGUGGGGUCCACGUGGGUCCCACGCUGAGUCAGCCGCCACGUGGGACAAAACCAGGGUGAAAACCGCCGAGGGACCUAUUGUGACCAGUUUUGUAAGUUGGGGGACGUCGGAUGUCCGGUUUUGCGGUUAAGGGACGAUUUUGUAUAUGGCUAACAAGUUGAGGGACCUUGCGUGUACUUUUCCCCUAGCAGAACCCGAGGGAUUCAUUCACCUACAGAAGUCUAAUUGGUAUCCUCCAGAGCCCACCAUCGGCCUACCUAUACACUAAAGUCCAUACACAUCCUCAUUUCAGCCCAGAGCCCUAUCAUAAAGUCUAAAUCACCUCCCUUCCCGAGAGCACUCCCUCCUCGGUUUAUAAAACCUUUCAACUUCGGAAAUUCAUAUCUUUUGGACCAUAACCCCGAUUGACUCCGUCCAACAUCCAUAAUCUCUCUAAAUUCGAGAUCUAUUAAAUUGGCACCAUUAGUUGUAUUGAAUGUUGCUUUAUUUUAUUUCUUUUAGGAUUAUGCGUGGAUAUUCUUCGGUUAUUUAUCAGACGUGUCGGAUAUUUAUCGAUCGCGGGUAUUCUAACUAAUGCGGAUAUCUCGAAGACAUUAGGAACCUAUAGCAAGGCAAGUCACUACGCUCCCUUCCUUGAACAUAUUGAUCCUAGAUUUAUAAAUGUUUUGUUUACAAAUAAAUUGCAUGCUAUUUAUAAAGUGCGUAUCUAUGCUCGAUUAUGCCUACAUUUGAUAUUGAUUACCUUUAUACAUGUUGUAUACCUUUGAUUAGCUGAGUCGUUUAUUUAUGUGUGGUCAUUUAUUGACAUUGCUUAGCGAUGCUAUUAUAGACAUACGUACACUCUAUAUUUAUGCUAGAUGAUUAUGGGUGUGAGAUCACUCGAUGUGAGUGAUUGAUGAUUUGCGGGUGGAGACAUGAGUGCCACCCGCCACACACAAACCUUCUGCGAAAACCAAAACUUAAUACAACAAAACCAUUUCGACUGGGGCGGCAUGAAUAGAAUAUGGGUGGGUCUGGAAACGGUUAGUCGCCGACCCUAGUCAGUUAUGGACCGAGUCAGGAAGCUAUACGAGAAACGAACAGAGUACGACCGCAUUUCUUCAGUGGGUAUAGACCAGCGGAUUAGGAAGCUCUUGUGGGGCGACACCUCAGUCAUGGUUAGUUCUGUAUAAGUGUGUUGUGAUGAGUGCAGUGUCGGAAAGGUAAAGGCCAUGGUAUAAACUUAAAAUGAACCCUAUAACUAUAUAUAUAAUAUAAUAUCCCCAAUUCCCUAGAGCGCCAGGACUCCCCUCACUAUCCGGCAGAGGGGUUAGGAGUGCCGGGGCGCAAUGGGGGUUCAUAGUCCUUGGAGCGGGUGCCGAAAUGCGAGAGCGACUGAAAAGCUGUGCCGUGGCAAGUCUUAUAUGUUGGGACUAGGCUUAUGUGUUGGGCAAGCCACGGAGUGCGGGAUUAAAAGCGUACAUCCACUGCAGUGUGAGUAAAUCUAUCUAUUCGAAUAGCUGUGCUCGCGGUUAAUGAGCGCCGAGACCUGUACUACUCUUGACUAGACUUAUAGAUUUUAAUACUGCUUAGAGUAGUUAUGAGAGACAUGUGAACCUCGCCCAUAGAGUGGGAAGGUCAGUAUAGUAGAGUUAAUAAGACGAAAUAUGAGGGUAAACCGAACUAAGCAGGGCUUGGAGAGGUGGAUGAAACCUAAAUAAUUACAACUUCAACAAUAACGUUGUUUUUCAGUUAAAACUGCUAUGCCAAUAGGCUUGUGAAAUGAAUCGUGAAAACUAGCCUUAUGCAAAUAAACUAAGCCAUCCUUGAACCCUGUGUGCAUUAGAUUCAUUUUGUAGUGGUGGCUUGCUGAGUACGUAAAUCUUUUAGAAAGAAGUUGGCGUCGAUUAGAUUUAUGCCAUGCUGCUGUCAAGAACGUGUUGAAGAUGAUGGAUUAGGGACCAUAGGUUCACCAGUCGUUGCUUGUGGAGUUCGAUGGACCGCCGUUGCUUCGCUUCCGCUGUUCUAUCUAUUGCUUUGGUAUUUUGUAUUGUAAGUGAUCAUGCUUGGUCUAUUUCGGGACCCAAUAAGGUUACCCUUGUAUUAUUAUUAUAGAAACACCGGUAAACGAUGUCAGUUAUAAUAUUAUACUGUGCUAUGUGUGUACCACCUACUGAUCCAGGAAGUGGUACUGUAUAACACAUGGGAUUACCGGUGUCCCCACAACCAAGGUCGAGCGUGAGGCGGAAGCUGUCCAUGAUGGCAUCGACGCAGCCAAGCACCAGGCACGGUCCGCCACAGAACGCCUCCACCGCCGCCGCCUCCGAUGGCACACGCAGUGCGCCCUCCGGGCCCAACCUGUACUAUCCCUGGCAGCCGCUGUAGAUCUUCACCCGGCCACCAAUGCAGAUUGCAGAACGUCAGAAACAGAGUCCGUUUUCUGCUCGAACUCUUUUUUUCUUCUUUUUUUUGGCUGAAAUUGUUUCAAUUACUGCUCAAGUUUGAUUACGAACUGUCGAACUGUCAAUGAUGUGCUUACACAUCGAUCGCUGAAGCAGAUGAUUGGCCUUGGCAACGAUGUCUUCAGUGCUUCUUUUUUGACCAUGAAACUAUGGAAGGUUGUUGCUGCCUCGUCUGCAACGACGAUGGCGACAUGCACCCAGAUGGGGCUAGUGAGCAGCACGAUGGGCAGAGCACGACGACGGUGCUGGUGAGCGUGAGCCUGGUCGGGAGCAGGAGGACGGUGAGCGUGAGGAAGCCAACGACCUGGGUGGAGUUGGAAGCCAACGACCUGGGUGGAGUUGGGCCGGGCGCGUGCGUUUGCACCCGCCAGAGCAGUGUCGUAGACGACGAGUCCGCCGCCGCGGGAGCUUACCCAUGGCGCUGUGUCGGAUGUGCGCGUGCUGCUGCCGAUCUACCAUUCUCGCGGAGUCGCGGUCGACCUAGGAGGAUGGGACCAUCGCCGCCGCCACCUCUUCUCUUCCCCCAUCUCCCACCAUCCACCUCAUUUACAUGUAGGCCUCAUAAUCUUUUUGUUUUUUUAUUUUGCUGACUCAACGAAAACAGAGACCCAAAUUAUACGGUUUUAUUAUAUAAUAAGGCAAAAUUGGUUAUAUAGUAUCGAAAGUUCACGUUUUUUGAUUUAUAGCACCGAAAGAUACCGGUUCACUUUAAUAGCACCCAAAGUUCACCCCGUUCCCAUUUUUAACACUUCCGUCAAUUCUCGAUCGUUUUCCGUCCGUCUUAUCCUAGCCAGGCACACGAUAUGGCGUUUCUACCCUCAUUGACAUGCAUUCUACUUGUACUUGUGACGGGUAUAUAAUUAAGGGGUAAAGAUUUCUAAUAUUAGAUUAGGGAUGUUAUACAAAGUCGGCAUAAAGUCAUUCCUUUUCUGGACUGUGGCUUGUGGGCCACAAAAGUAGCAAGGUCUACUACAACCAACAAAACGAGAUUCUGAACAGGCCCGUGACAAGAGCGAUGGGCGACACGUGGGUACCGUACGGUCAAGAAAAACUGCUGAAACCUACUACAUCCGUCCCAAAAUAAGUGCAGCCGUGGAUAUCCGUGCCGAACGUUUAACCGUCCGUCUUAUUUAAAAAAUUUGUAAAAAAAAUUGAAAAUAUUUAGUCACACAUAAAGUACUAUUCAUGUUUUAUCAUCUAAUGCGAUAAAAAUACUAAUCAUAAAAAAAAUUUAAAUAAGAUGAACGGUCAAACGUUGAACGUAAAUAGUGCAAAACUACACUUAUUUUGGGACGGUGGGAGUAUAAGAGAAAUCAGUUGUUUGUCAACUAGAGUCCCUUAAAAAAAAUUACUCAAAUUAAAUCUUAAAAUUAGACAUGAACAAAUUUAUGUAUCUCACUAUAGUUUUAAAGUUUGAACUACAUAUUUUUUGUAAUCGGACCAACUAUACUAUAUGAAAAAAAAAAUUGCUUUAUUUCAGAGUUCAGGCGCGUUCAGACGCAUCGUCCAAUUCUAGUUACUGUCUCCAUGGCACCACCCCCAUAAUAUAAUGAGAAGAGAUUAAGGAGCCAUGGAGAAGGGGUGGAGGGUACUUGGAUUAAGACAAUAAAAGAGAGAUGAUUAAUCAAACAAGUAUACUAUAAACUAUUGUACUAUUUUGCGAGGAAGAAUUUAAAAUUUAAAUCAUUCACUUCCUUAUAGUAUUUUGGAAACAUUGGUUGUCCUAAUACUGGCUUAAUUAGGAAAAAAAUAUGAUAAACUUCUAGUUACGUACUUAGCGAUUUAAAAGCCAAAUGCUGAAAAACAAACUUUGUUCAAAAAAAAAGGAAUCAGGUUUCAAAAUUCAAAAUUUUGGCAACGCGGCAAAAGAUGGAAAAGCCUUCAACAGCAUCACAGCAUCAACACCAACAUGGAUCGGAUGGCACCACAGGAUGAUCUGCAGCUGCUCUGCUUUACGAUGAUGCACCUUCGAACGACUGCGAGAGGUGCUUUACAUUCCAUCCCACAGGUCGCUAUUAGGUGUGCAAGGGUAACGGAAAUAGGUUGAUACGAUUGCAUAUGUGUGUAAACUGUGAUCGAGCAUAUGGUGUGCAAGGGUAUGAUAAAUACAGGAGUUUGCAUACGUUUUUACAGGCAAUGUCUGAUAAGCUAUUUGCAAUCUAGCAGUUCGAAGUGCUUCAAAUACGAUUAGGAAGGUGGCCUUUGAAGGGGGGCCUCCUGCUUUGGACGCCUGCAUGUAAAGAAAAAUCUAUAUUAGGUUAGCAUUGCCUGUUGAUCAGAGGAUGAGCAACUCCCAAUCAAAAUGGUAUCACCCAAAAUCAUUUUGACAGUUUUAACCAGAUGUAAAUGGACACUCUUUUAGAGCUUUGUAAUGCCAAGGGAAUAUAAGAAUUAUGUAGGAUAGUGCUAAUCCAACAUUAUUACUAUAUUGUUACAACAGGAGGUGAGAUAUAAAUAGUCCUUUGCUAAGGAAACAGGAGGUUGGGCCAGAAAUUGAAGUAUAUGAAAAAGAAGGUUGAUUUGUUGGUCAUGGGUUUUAAACGCAGCCAAGUACAGUAUCUGGCAAUCUUGGAACUUACAGAUUUGCUAAGAAUAUUGUGUAUAAAUACUGUUCCUCAACAACUAUAUUACCUCGCAGAGCAAGAAGGCUCAAGCCCUGGCACAUCUGGUGGACCAAUUGGAUUAUAAUGACCACUCGGUGGAGCACUCCUAUUUUCAAAUAUUAAAGUCCAUUCAUAAGUAAAAAUGACCUCAUGUGUACUAAAAUGACAAGAUAAUAAAAAGAAAAAGUGGAUUACCCUGUGCCACUUAAGGGUACAUGCAAGGGAUUAGAAGGAAAGAAGCUUGGAUCAUUUGGAUCUGUUGUAUAAAUAAGUGGUAAAACAAGACUGUAGAGAUGCAGAAACAUAAAAAGAAAUAUUUUUGAGAGUUCCAUGGGUGUCAUAUUACCAACAUGCUGGCUGCUGCCACCACCAAUACCACUGCAUACAAAAACAGAAACUAUUAACUAUGUGAGUAUGAUUUACCUAUACUUUAGGUGAUUGGAGACGAACCUGUGAGGAUCGGGGAAGGCAUCAUCGUGACCUGUUGGAGUUAUAGCAGGAAAAUCUAUGCCGUAACUGUGUAACACAACAGAAAUCACAAGAAAGAUCACAUCAUAUAACUAUGUUUAGAGUAACUAAUGAACUAAUAUCAUGAACCACUCUAAUUACUCUAAUGAACUACUAACUAUGUUAGAUUAAAUGUACAUACACAGCACUACAAUUAUCAGGUGCAUAUUGCACCUUUUUUUUACAUAUGACUAGUGCUUGGAAUGAACCUUCAUAUCCAGCGCACAUCGUCACAUAUGUAUCAGUAAGUCACUAAUGAAUCACAAAGUUUCAUGAAUGCACUGAACAGACAAGUUCAUAUAUAAGGACCAAGCAAAGGCUUCAUUCAGUGAAAACUGGAAAUAAGCUUAUAGUUGCCAGUGAAACCUGGAAAGUAACCUUAUAGUUGUUUUAAGUACAUAUUAUCUCUACUGGCUAGGCCUCAACAUGUUGAUGCCGAGCUGACAUAUGAACACUAAACACUUUAUUUAAUAUGCACGAGUGUAUUGUUCUCUUGUUAUUUCCUUGUUUAUGUAGGCGACAAUGUUAGUUCAGUAUCACAGUAAUAACAAGAAAUACAAGACAUGAAAGAGUAGUAUGGCCUUAAAAUGACUGCAUUAAAUUUUGAUGGCUCAUAAAAAACAUUAAAGAUAAUUUCAGUAAUAAUCACAGAUAAAAUCCAUCACAAUCAUUGGCUCAUUGCUACCUUCGAAUGGCAUUCUGUUCACAAAAGACUCGAGCAUUCAUUAUUUGUAGUCUUUACCUCACAUAUAGCAUUGCACUAAUGCUUUGCCAACUUAUCCAAAAUAGUCUAAGAAAAUGACACAGCUAGCGGCAACAUCAAAAUGAAUCACCCAACUUGUGGCUACUGCAGCAAAUCUAUUCCAGAAAACAAAGGAUUUACUGUGCCAUUUCAUUCCUAUCUUUAUGACCUACUGUUCCAGUGUUCUUCAGAGGUUAAUCCAUGGGUGUACAUGUCAUUAAUGAUUGAGCAAGAGCGGAAAUAAUAUAGUGAGGGCCCGUUUGGCAGGGAUCCAACUCUUAAAUUUAACUCAGAGUUGGGUUUGGAGUAUAGUUGCGGAGCAGCCUGAACCCCACUCCAACUCCAACUCUCUAGUUCAUUUUGUGAGAGCACUCCAGCAACUUCACUCCCUUUUUGGGUGGAGCUGAAACUGUUAGGUUGGGCUCCAGCUCUAGGAGAGGUGGAGGUGGAGCUCUGCCAAACUGCCCCUUAAGUUUGAUAACAGGUUGUGUAAAGGUAGAGAGAAGAAAGCGCAAGCCCAACAAUGAAGAAUAUACACAAAGAAAGCAAAAGGAGAAAUGAGUUUAGCCUUAAGGUCAUACCGUUCAGUAGUUUUGAGGUCUUGAUUUUCAUAGCUGGAACACAAGCGCCUUAUGUUAGAAAAACUUUUGGAGAAUACCAGUUAAUGAACGUAAUUAAAGUUUUUUCUUACUUGAGAAGCUUCGACUUUCAAUUACAUGUUUCACAAGUAUUUUCCUUAACUAGCAGAAUAUUUAGAUUUGAACAACUAAAAGAAAUAUAUUGAUGAUGUUAGAUCAAUGGAACAUAUCCUGUGCACAUAAGAUUUCCGUAUACACACCGUGCACACCAACUAACAAAUUAGACCAAAAAUCCUAGAAAACAUUGUACAUAUGUAUUUCCAUUAGUGUUACACUUAUAUGUAAAGUCUUAACUUUAAAUUCAAUACAUUUUAGACGUAACAAAUAAGAUAAAAACUCUGACAGUUUUAAGAGUAAAUCUGCCAGAAUUGUCUUUUUUGUUACCCCCUAUAUAUAAUGAAUUUGAAGUUGAGAUUUUACACAUAUAUAUAAUACGACUUAAAGUUCAUGUACAUUUUUUUCCAGAAUUUUUGUGAUAUUUGUUAGUUGGUGUGUACACGAAAAAGCCUUGUGUGCAUAGGAUGUGUUCCCUUAGAUCAGCACCAGUCUACCAUUUUAUUAUUUUUAAGACCAAAGCACAAUAGUGUGUAGAGUAGUCUAGUAGUAUUGAAUACGUACCUUUUAGGGAACUCAAGGAGUUCAUAGUUCUCCAAUAUUUCAUCAAUCCUGCAGAACAAAUAAUGCAAAUAUAACAGAGAGCAAGGCAGUUCUUUUUUGAAAUCAAACAAUUGAGAAGAAGAAAAAUACCUACCAUCCCAAAACUCUAUCAUAGAUAUCCUUGUCAUACAUGUGGUGGUAAUCAUCUUUAUGCAAUAUUAGACAUUCCACCAUUGCAGGUAAAAUUUCAUCCAAGGAAUUUGAAUUUACCAGUUCCAAAUCAGACAGCCGCAAGAAUUGUUGUUUGCCCAUAUUGUCCUUCAAAUGAAAUCACUUUUUAGUUAAGAGUGUUUAUAGCAGCACUUACGAUACCAUGAUAGAAGUUAAUCAAAUGGUACACUACAGCAAAAACUAUCAUAUGCAUGUGCAUUGAUAAAUACAACAAAAAAGAAAAUCAGAGAUUAAAACUCACUUUUGAGCCUUUCCAACCAUGAUGACGAACAUGGCGUAAGUAAACCAUGCCAUCUUCCACUGAAUUCUCAAAGGGUUCAUACUCUUCACGUUGUUCAGGGCAUUCUUCAUUUCCACCAUCAUUCCCAACAUAGCCUCCAAGUUCAUGACCUUCCUUUUCUGCAUUCUCAUCUCCUUGUUCAUUGGAUUCACUUUUUUCCAUCUUAGCUCUGUGGUGUUCAUAUACAACAGUAUGAAUUGGGGAGACAGAGGAUACACUACCAUCCUGCUUUUGACAUCGGACUCUCCAGUCUUGUCGAAGUGUCACAGAGUUCAGAAUUGAUUGAAGUAAUCUCUUCACUUGGCCAGUUGUUGCUUGAUGGGCUGAAUAAAUAUUAUCAAUUAUUUGUAAUCUUGUCAAGGACGACUUCAGUGCAGGAUGGAUGGUGAUAAAUCUUUGAAACUUUCUUAGCAUCGCACUGCCGUACCUCAGAUGAUCAAUGUAAUUUCUAAGUGACUUGUCAAGAUGCCUAAAAAGGCCUGGCCAUUUACCACCUACCUCAUACUCUGGAAGAACGUCAGUAGCAACUCUAAGAAAAUCAUGUGCCUCUGUUUUACAUGCCGCUUGAUAAGUACAUGGCAAAUCGAUCUUAACAUCCAACGAGUCACUGACCAUAACAUGAUCCAAAUCCCAAUGGCCAUUCCAAGAUCUACCUCCCUUAUGAGACCUUGUUAUCAUUGUCAACAGAUUGGUUAAAAUGAUUCUCCCAAUCUGGGUGGUAUCUAUCACUGGCAGGAAAAAACCAUCACAUCUAAUAUGGCGGGGCUUGGUCAGAUGAUACCCACGUAGCUUCAGAAAUGUCCUCAACGGAAUCCAUCUGCAAAUAUAGUACUCUAUUAUUUAUUCCUAAUAAUGUUAACAUCAAGCCAUUGUUAUUGACCAAAUUUAAAUGGACUCAAGUAAAAUACCUAUCCGGUUUGGGCAUGUCACAUAUGCAUAUUACUGGAUUUUCACAAUGAAAACCUGGUAAGUUCAAAUCAUGAAUAAAUGUGCGCACAGCAUUUUCAAGAUUCUUCUGAAUCCUGCAAAAAAUAUAGAAAUUAAGACACUGACUCUCAUAUGAAGAUGAUCUAGGACAAGAAAGUCACCUUGGGUAGCAUUGGCACAAGUCAUGUGCGAGUUCAGGAGCAUAACUCCAAAUAUGAUCGAAAUGUAUGUGCAUCUCAGGAGAGCUCAGGGUCUUCAUAGAAUCAACAAUUGCUCCAUAAUAUGGUAUAUUGUUCCGCUCGAAGCUGAUUAAAAAACAGAUCAGAUGCUGCUUUGAUUUCAUAAGCCAUAAAACAUAUUUCCUAAGAAUGAUAGAUUUUUACCUUCUUAAAAAGUCGAGGAACAUGUGUUCCAGCUUUUGGUCUUUUCCACUCAUGAAAUAAGACGCAAAAUCUGCUCUCACUGUUCCAGGAGAGGGAGGCCUGGUUUCUAGCUGCGCAUUGGUGGGUGAUGGCCUUGGCUUAACACUGGAGCUGCUACCAUGUUCUCCUGCCAUACGGGAAUGCCGUACUGGAGGAGGACCUUGGCUUGACUCAAGUGACGAGCUUACGCUCUAGAACAGAGAAAAAAAAUGAUGAAGGCAUUUUGCUAGAUCAAAUCAACUAGAUGAAUAUAUUACAUGGUUAUAGCAAUAUGAGUGUUUACAGGUAACAUCAAAAAGACCGUGACAAUAGAAGUGGCUUUGAACACAGUAGAUUUGCCACUAAAAUCCUACAAUCAAAGGAAUGCAUAUUUCUAGCAACAUGCUGAAGUAACAUGGCAAUUCUACAUUUAGAACAACAAUGUGCUAAGCAUGGGAUAGCAGUUAACAUUUAAGGCAACAAAAACGUACAUGAUGCUGGGUUUGCCUGGCACUGUGAGGCUUCUUCUUAAAGCUUUGCUUAGCACCUUCAAAAUAAUUGCCACUUUUCAACACAGAAUGUUGGUCCCUUGAGAUUGUGAUAUCAUGAACCAACACACCGCUUUCACCAGGCUAAUUAUUUUUAAACAAAAAAGGUCAGUAAUUAAAAAAAUGCACUGCUUAAUCAAAGAAAGUGGCAGAAUUACUAAGGGCUUACAGAAUCAACAGAUCGCCAAAUAUUUUGGUAGUUCCGGAAGCCCACAUCUGAUUCCAGAACAAAAAAUCUUCCAUGGUACUGAAAAGAAGAAAAUAGAAUGAAAACUAGCAUACCAAGUUUAUUUAAAAAAAGGCAGGUAUCACAACUCGUAAAUUACAAUACCUUGUAUACAACGUUGAAGUGCUCGUUUUGAAAGAAAAUGAACAACUUCCUAUCAGGAGUUGCUGCUUUCAAAGUGUGUAAACUGUGAUUUUAAAAAAAAAUGUCAAUAGAAGAAACAAAAUGACAAUUGUAUUUACCUAUAGCUAGCAUGCAUACCCAAACUCUGUGACUUGUCCAGGAUUAUCUUUCAAGAACGUGUGAAUCAACUCAUCUACAAAUAAACAAUUUAAAAACAGAGCAUUAGCGAUCAAAGAAAGAAACAUAUUUGCAUCCGUAAAUAGUUGACAGGUGAAAAAUGUAAGAUCGUUACAUCUUCUAGUUUCAGCAGCAUCUAUCAUAAAAUCAGCAUCUUUCUUUGAGUUGUAUUUAGCCCUAUCGAUAUUCAGCUGAUUGUAUGAACGUCCAUCAACUGCAUUCAAUAAAAUGGUGUCUUCCUGUUCACAAACAUACCACAGAAGAAAAAAUUAGGAAAAACCCAAGAAAAAAAAUAUUAACAUGACUACAACACUAAAUUAAUCCAUGUAAUAAGUAGCCAUGGUUCAAUCAUACUAAAAGACAUCUCCCAGUAGCAUACCUGAUUGUUCAUGUCUAGUACCCAGGCAUGAUAUAAAGGGAUAUCCAGGAUUCUAAAAAGCCCAUACUGAGGGGUGUCCUCAAACCCGUCGACACUGCGCAUACCAAUUACACAUCAAAAUAUACAAAUGGAGGCUAUAUUAUUGCUUAAGAACUCGCUUAACCACAAACCUUGUGCAAUAAAUAUCAAUAUCUAGUCCUGUAGCCGUUUGUUCCACCGUUGCCUGUGCAGUUUUAUAGCUGUCAUCCUACACAUUGCAAUGUGAUUAAUAAUCUUCAAUUAAAAAAAUGGAAUAUAUUGUUUUGAUAAGUGGAUCAGAUCGAACCUUCAUUUUGCUGAAAACUUGACUAAACACACGGUCAACUAAAUAAUCAAGGUAAACAAUUGUCAUGGAUGGUGGCAAGGAGAGUUUCCUGGUAAGGAUUAGAUAAUUGCCUGCAAAACAGAGUAGUUAAGCUACAUGGGACAGUUUAUCAGCGGGUAUAGUAUAAACAACAAACAAAAUCUCACAUAUGGCUAUCAAGGAGCAGGGUCCAUUCUUGGACUGGAGGAUGAUCUUAUACCCCCGGCCCAGAAAGGAUAUGAGUUUUGUUUCACAAAAAUCUCUGGGCACACGAGGCACUUGCGGUGGAGGCAAAGUGCUCUCCCCUCCUUCAUCCUUCUGUACACACUCCUCUUCGGUCUCCUCCUCCUCGCCCUCCUCGUCCUCCUCAUCACCCUCCUCUGCGGAGUCACCAGCGGUCUCCUCCUCCUCGCCCUCCUCGUCCUCCUCAUCACCCUCCUCUGCGGAGUCACCAGCGGUAGAGAAGGCCAGCGAGCGGUCAACCUCGAAGAGCUGCGAAGCUAGCCGGCCGAACAACUGCGGGCCGGCCAACAUCCGGCUGACGGACACCUGACCGAUCGGCUUGAAGGCCUGACCGGUGCUCAGCCUCUGACCUAUGUCGCGGAAGGGAGUGAUCAGAAGCCGCGGCGGUACCCGCUGCCGACCGGGCGGAGGAUCUCCCCGCGGUGGAACCUGCCGCUGCCGACCGGGCGGAGGAUCUCCCCGCGGUGGAACCUGCCCCUGCCGAUCGGGCGGAGGAUCUCGCCGCGGAUAGUUGGAUCCCAUCGUAGAGAAGGUCUUCUAGGGGAGCGGUGGGAACUGAGGCUCCACCCUCGCCGUCAACCUCGACGCAAGCGCGCGCCGACGCUCCCCCGUCCGACCGAGCGGAGGACCUCGCCGCGACCGAUCUUGGCGGCGGAUCUCGCGGAUGUUUUUUUUUUCUUUUUCUUUUUUUUCGAGAGGAACUCGCAUGAACCCUAAACCCUAGGAGGCGGCGGCGGCGGCGGCGUUUGGUUUGAAUGGUGGAGUUGGCUCGAGUGGAAUGGCAUGACCUAGUAGGGUAGUAGGUGCGAGGAGGCGACUGCAGUCUACUGAAGUCGGCCUGUGGGCUGUGGUCCGAACGGACCAAGACGGCCCGCGUCUUGGACUACGGAGUGUUCAGUUGCGCUGCAAGUUUUACAGGAUUUUUUUAUUAUUGUUUUUCUAAAGAUUUAUAAAAACUACUCUAAUAUAAAUUAUCGUUCCAAAGUUUUGCAAAAAUACUCUCCUUCGGCAUAUAAAUCACCCUACAAUAAGACCAUCUAUGUGACGUGGCACCCCGUAGAAGGGGCACAUCGCGACAAUUUUGCAGGCCUCCCGUUGGGCGAUUUAUCGUCGGGAGGGGCCACCUGCAAAAUUGUGAAACUUUGAAAUGAUUUUUUUUACAAUAGGGUGGGAGGAGUAUAUUUCUAUAAAACUUCAAAAUGAAAUAAAUAUAAAUAUUAAAAAAAUGUUUUACAAAGAGUAAAUUUUACCUAGCCUCAUGUAUUAUUAUACUUUAAGUUACACAAGACCACACUAUUGAUCAUUUCGACUUUUAUUUAUCACAGUUUUGAAUUCUACAAUAACAUCUCAAAUUUAUGUGUUCUUUAUUCAUCAUAUAAAUGAUCUACAUCCAUGUAACUAUAGCCUUUUAAAAUUUUGAUAUGUGAAUAUGUCAAACUGAUUAGUGACGUGGUUUUAUGGAACUUGGACCAUUAAUAUCUUAAGUUAUAUGUCACGUGCCAAAUUUUAUGUGGUUUUGUGCAACUUUGACCAUUAUAGGUGAGGCUUUGUAAAAUUUACUCUUUUACAAUCUAGCCUUCUAAGAAAAACUUACUCCGUAUUUCAUGAAAAUACCAUUAGCAAGACUUAUUUCUGGAAAUGUGUUGAUACCUCGGUGCCAACGUUGGUAUCUUUUACAUUAGAUGAUACCCCACACGCUGCUACGGGUUUAUUAUAAUAAUUUAAAAUACACAUAUUAGUAUGAUCUAUUAAAAUACUAAGCUGCAUAAAUGUUAUAAUUUGAACACAAAAGCGGUAGGAACACGCUGCUACGGGUUUAUUAUAACAACUAGUUGGGUGCCCGCGCAAUUGCGCGGCUAGCACCCAUACAAAAGUAAAUAUUUUUAUAUGAUUUUACUUAAAAUUUAUUAAAUAUUUGUCUCGUUGUCUUAAGACUUUGAAAGACCAAACCUUAUCAUCCAUGUGUUUCUAAUUUUAUAAUUUUUAAAAGUCACACCAGUUGCUACCCCUUACUUCUGUCAUAUCAUUUUUUAUUUGCUUGCUUGAUCUACCAUUAUUUAUAUUUCUUUCUCCUUGAAACCUUUACAAAUUGGAUCUUAUAGCUUUUAGAGUUUAUUGUCCAGUUGGGUCCUCUAUGGUCCGCCCGCUACCCCUUAUUUUUAUUGCCAAUAGGAUUUUAACAAUCAAACAAAAUUAUUAUUGGGGUUCUUUUUCUUUACUUUCUAGAAGUUCGGUCAAACAGUCAUCAGCUCCACCACUGUGAUCCUCUAUGGCCCACCCGCUAACUCCCCUCGAUUUUAAAAAUCGAACGUAAUUAUCAUUGGGGUUUACUUUUUUACUUUUUAAAAGUCCAGCCAACUGUAGUGACCGUGCUAUUUAAGUAUUUAACGGCAUGCUCGUCGUCCCUCAUCUUAAUUGUCAUUGGAUUUCUAUUUGAGAUUUUGUUUAUAGUUUUUAUAUGUCUCAUCAUGCAUCAUCACCCUACUCCUCUAUUAACUUAUUGUUUUUCCCUCUUUAUUAUCAUUUAUCAUUGUUGUGUUCUAUAUGGACCUUUUUUUUAAAGAAAAAUCAUAUUUUUCAUUCCGAUGUUCUGUUAUUUAUAAAUUUUAUUCAUACUUGCACUCUUAUAUAAUUAUUUUAUAUUUUCAAAUUUUAUUUUAUUUUUAUUUUGAUUUUUAAUUUAUCUCGUGAUGGGUUCUAGAUGAUCUUUUCUUUCAACAAUCUUUUCUUUAAUUUCGAAUUUUAGUUAUUUAUAAAUUAUAUUCCUAUUUGUACUCUUCUUUUUCUUUUUUAAUUGUGAAAUUUAUUUUAUUUUCUAUUAAUCUCAUACUGUGUCUAUAUGAAUUAUUCUUCUAAUAUUUUUUAUUUUUUAUUCCUAAUUUCAGUUGUUUGUAAAACGUAUUUUUACUUGAACUCUUUUAUUUGAUUUUUCUAAUUUCUAAAUUUAUUUUAUUUUUUAUUAUGGAUUUUAAUUAAUCUUUAAUUGUGUUCGGCAUGAACUCUUCUUUCAUUUUUUAUUGUGUUAUUUCAAAAUCAAAUAAAAAAUCCGUGCACAUGCCGUCAUGCUUUUCUGGUUGCUGACGUGCAUCACCCAAAUCCGGCUCAUUGUGCAGCCGCACGGCUUGACCCGCUGCUUCGGAUUUCCGUCGCUCGUUGCUAGCAUCUAUCUUCAUAUCAACAAAAACGCAUCCAAAUUACGGUUCUACAGUGGUUCGUUGUCUGCUACUUCAUUAAUAUAUAUAUAUGUAUUAUAGCCUAAUUUGUCUAGAACCUAACUCUGGUUAAUUGGUUUAGGAAAUCGGACAAAACUCUUUUGAGACCGUUUGCAUGUAAAGGUCCUAGCUAGAGAUUGAUUCUAAUUCUGCACGCGUAUAAUAAGAUAGAUAGAUUGAUAGAUUUCAAAUACACAUAUUGAACACGCUGCUACGGGUUUAGUAUAUAUGAACGAUCUUCUUGGCAAAGAUGAUCGUUUUGAUUGGAGGAUGACGUAAGAUAUAAUGUACAUAGCUGAAGAUAUAAAUGUCAACUGUUCAUAGGACGAUGGUGUAAAAGGAGACAACCUGGACGAAAGCAACAAGCAAAAAACUUCAAAGAAAUUAUACCGCUUGCUCAAAUGUGUUCACUCUUUUAUUUUUCUUCGGUGGAUAUCCUUACUGACACGUGUGAAUAAUUAUAUGAACUGUUCAAAGGAGAGGAUGGUGUAAAAUGAGGCAAACCUGGAUAUGAAAACGACAAACAAAAGUUAGAGGUAGCCGUCUGAAUGUGCUAGCUCUUUAUUGUUCUUUCGUGGAACUCCUCGCUUUUACCUAUUUACGAUAAAUCUGAUGAUGUUUUGAGUGGGAGGGACAAUGGAAGGAACCAGAACUCCUUUUCCGGGUCGGCCAAAUAUUGGCAGGCCAAUCUCAUUAUGAUUGGAGGAAAUAAAGUUUUAAUUAUAACUAUAUGAAGGAUAUCGCGCUGGUCUCAAACAAACUUAAAGACGGUAAGGAAAUAGAAAACAAUGUGGCAAGCCCCGCCUCUGAUUGGGAUUACUCGCCAGGCUGGGAAAAGAUCCCUGCUGCCCUCCAAACUACGAUUUCCUUAUUGAUGCCGUUUGCUAGCAAAUCAACCGACUUGGCGAUGUGCUGAAAGAUCCUAACAUUCCGCUCUCUCCAAAUAAGCCAACAAAUGAGCAUGAACAAACUAUCGAAAUCUGUCCUGUAGCCGUUCUGAAAAUGCCGUCUUGUCGCGAUCCAAGUGGCCUGCCAUCCUCCGCAGGAAUUGCAAUGUUAAUGUUGCACCAAAGUCUUAGCUUACACCAGAAACCAGAAAAUUGGGCUGCUAGCUUAGCUCAAUUUUGUUUACUCUUUUAUGUUACUCAUGGAACUGCUCACUAACGCUCAAUUUUAUGUUAGCAUGUUAGCUGUAAAUAAGUUCUUAACUACCUCUAAUGAGUAUGAUGAAAAAAUACUAUUGCUGAGUAAUUUUCAUCCAACAACAUAGCAUAGCAUGUGCGUUGAGGAAUGAGGUGGUAAUGGAUAAUCCCAUCCCAUUCCUCAAACCAAACAACUCAUCAAGAAUCAAGUGAUGAAUUAAAUUCAUUAUCUCACUCAAACUAAAUGCUAGGCCGACAUUCCAAAAAAAUGACUUUUGUGUUGAACUCAAAGCAAACAAUCACUGGCAAUGUGCCCAAAUACUCGACAAUUGCCGAGUACACAGCGGAUGCAAAGGUAAGUCAAGAUACAUAAAUAACUCACAUUGCAUCUCCUUGAAUCUCCUUCUUCCUGACAUCAAGGGCGAUCAUCACUCCUCCCAUAUCACAAUCCCUGUUGGCAGAAUUGCACAAGAGGUAAACAACAUCGUCGUCGUCGAUGCUCAAGGCGGGGUAAGACAUAGCCAGGCAUCCUAGGGACAAGCUGGACCCUUUGGCUUCCUCAUCAUCGCUGGUGCUGAGCAUGAGCUUAUUCAGCAACCCAUGAUGGGCUGUGUUGUCGACGACAUGGAAAUCAUGCAAGUUAGCUGUGCAGUCAGGGCGCCAGUCCUCCCAUGAAGUGACCGGGAUAGGCAUGGUCCAUGUAGUGAGCCACUGGCCAGGCCGCCGGACGGAGGAGCGCUGCCGUGUCGUCGGCUGAGGCUGAGGUUCUCUGCUCCGGCGAACCCAUUCGAGGAACGAAUCAGGAGGAUCAUCUGCAGGCAUGGUGCGAUCACCGGAGGAUAUUAUGGUUUUGGUCACAACUCUUGGCAUGGUGAUUUCCAUCUCGACGUACUUGAUGAAGUCCUUGUGUUGGCUGACGGUGAUGUCCCGAUAGAAGGACUCGCUGUCACUGAGGUAUCUUGUCCAGUUGCCCUUGGCCGGCCAUGGCAGCGGCAUGUCGCGGAGCUUUGGGGGAGACAUUUCGUCGAGCAGGUCGCAGAGGAGGAUGCCACGCCAGAGAUCGACCCAGCCGACGGUGCCCUUCGCGCCUCCGAGCACGAUGGUCUUGGUGGUGAUGUGGUACACGGGCCUCUCAUCUGAGUCAGGGAUCGGGCACACCCUGUCCCUCACCGCCUCCUCCACAAACACCUCCUCGCACGUCCAAUUUCCGGCGAUCUCAUCACCAUCGCCACCACCAGAAGAAGAUUUGUACCGGUGCAGCGCGAAUUGACUGGGCAGGUUGAUCAUCUCGAGGGCGGCAACGACGUACUGCUGCUUGUCGCCGCAGAUGCUAACGAUGGCGAAAUCGUCGUCGCGUAAGCAAUAUUGCUGGCACGGCCUGGGGAGCAGAUCUAGCCUGGCGGGUUGAUGGUGAUGGUAGACGAAGUAGUCGUCCUGACGGAAGAGACUCUUGCCGCCGGGCACGGGGUUGACGGGGACUCUGAGGAGGAGCAAGCCGUCGGCGACGGCGAUGACUUUGGGCGCCAGGAGCAGAUCGCCAUGGGCGGCGGGCGGCAGAUCGGAGCCGUGGGCGGAGAAGUGGGAGAGCGCGGGAGGGGCCUCGUUCCAGAAUGUCAUCUCGAUGGGACGCCCGUUGCUUGUUCUGGAGGUGGCCGUGCUGCCUCCCUCCUUCUCGCGGUGGCCGCUGUCGUAGCCUCGGACGCCCACCAGGACGGUGCCGCCUUCACCGGCGCCGGCGCCGGCCAUGGCGUUCGAUCGAUCCAUCCAAAAUAUUCCAGGCCAAUCUCCGAGAAAGGGUACGUAGAAGGGCUCGACGACGCAUUAUGCUGGGCUGUAUUUGGGCCCAAUUGAACCAAUCCACUAAGGCCCAGUGGCCCACAGUAGAAGAGAGGAUAUGCCAACUUGCCAAGACCAGCUCCAAGUUGUAAUAACAUAUAGACAAAAUGCUGAUCAAGUCCACCAAGUCUGUUGUUUAUUACUGUUCAAACAAAAUGUCGUUCAUUACUUUUUCUGUUCUAAAAUGUUGCUACAUGAUACAUGAUUGCGCGUCACUUUCUAAUACAACAAAUCUGUAUAAGUGCAUGUGCAAUCGUGUAUAGAGUUAGUAUUAUUAGAAAAAUAGAGAAUAAAACAUCAACCCUUAUUAUACUGAGAGUAAAGUUUAAAAAUCAAUCAAUUGGACAAUAGUUAAUUAUUUUGUUUACCAGUUGAAUCACCAGCUUGUAGGGAACAAUUCGUUGAACAAAUCAACCCACCCAAAUCAAACGAACAAAGUCUCUAAAUUUUCUCCGGAAAAAAACAAAACCAUCAAGCUCAAAAAAUAAUAAUACAAUAAUGGAAGACGACGAGGAGGACGGCGAGAGUCAACCCCCACGCCGGCCAUUGGCUCCGCCCCGCGCCGCUGGCGGCCGGCGGAUGCAAGGGGACGCCGCUGGGCGGCGGGCUCCCUCGCCGCCGCCGCCGCCACCGGCGGCGGCGGCGGCGACUUUGACGGCGAGCCUCAUCCCUCCGAGGCAGUGGCCGGGGAAGUCGCAGAUGAACCAGUAGGUGGCGUUAGGCUCCGUGAGCUGCACCCUGUCGUAGCCGGUGUCGUAGCUCUUGAUCACGCCGGCGACGCCGCCGCCGCCGGUGUCGCACGACCGGUAGGUGGCCUCCGUCACCUGGAGCACGUUGUGCUGGCUCCUCACGUACUGGAACACUGGCGCAAACACAAACAUUAGUAGCUAGUAGGAUAUAUAUCGUCGUCAAAAUCCAAUCCAAAUCCAAGAAACGAAUUGAUCGAAACCUAGGAUGUCGCCGGCGAGGAAGGCGUGCUUGUCGGACCAGGUGGCGUAGUUGGUGCCGGUGUCCCAGGGGCCAUCGCCGACGGUGUACUCGGCCGCGGUGGCGGAUCGGAGGAGCAGAGAGAGGAGGAGCAGGGCGACGAGCUGCAGCGGCGGCGACGGUGGCAUCCUGUCGAACAGAGGCGAGGGUGCAGGGCAGAGAUGGAGAAGAGAUUAAUCACUGGAAUUAAUAUGGUUCAGUGGACAUAUAUUAGCUUGUUUGUUACGACUAGCUUAAUUAGCUUUGUGGUGGAUGUUAUUGUGUUGUGAUUGAAGUUUUGGAAAGCUAAUUAAAGAAGGUUGCUGAUGGCGACCGGCACAGCAAUAUGCAUGCGUGCGCGGAAAAGGUAGAUUUUUUUUUCUUUUUGACCAAGUCAAGCUUAUAUAUGUCAUCAAUGAUUAGAGCAAUGUCAAUGAUAUAGCAGGGUACUUAGCGGCAAUAUUUGGUUAUUUCACAUAUACUCCCUCCAUCAAAAAAAAACCCAGAGUCCAGGUUUAAACCUAGAAUUGGGUUUUUUUUUUACGGAGGGAGUAGCCACUAAGAGAGAAAGUAUAUGCAGUAAAUUAGCUGUUACAUUAGCUAUAUGAAAUAGAAAAUCAAUUAAUUCAUGCAUAGGUAUCAAGCUCAUCCUUGUAGCUACCUAUGUUAUAUGCAAUUAUAUAAGCUGUGGUGAUUUUAUUUGCAGAAUACACCAUUGAUGAUGGAUAAGGUUUUUGUUUUUUUGAACAAUCAGUGGUAUGAUUUAUUGAUUAAAGUAGGAAAUAAUUACGAGGAUAGAGUCUUCAAAGGCAAUACUUCGUCCGUUUCACAAUGUAAGUCAUUCUAGCAUUUCCCACAUUCAUAUCGAUGUCAACGAAUCUAGAUAGAUAUAUAUGUCUAGAUUCAGUAACAUGCAUAUUAAUGUGGAAAAUGUUAGAAUGACCUAUAUUGUGAAACGGAGGGAGUAGCUAGGAAAGAAGAAAAAAUUCCACCAUCACACAUCGACGUCACCUAUAUACAGCUAAGAAGAAGGUUUAGCACCGGUCCGACUGUCGCUAAACGUGACCAACAGACGAAAUAGAAGUAUAGAACUGAGCUAAUCGAAGCAAGCAAUUUAAAAAUUAGAUUCAUUUGAAUUCUUAUAUAUAUACUUUUUUUUAUUAAAAAAGCUUUUAAAACUAAACUAUUUUAAUACAAGUAGUUCAGAAAACAUGCUCACCGUAAACUAAGUAAUUGCAAAAGCAAAAGAUGUACUAAUAAAGCCUACUGAUCAUUUGUUCACAUGUUUGGGCCUCAUCGUUUGCCCUAAAGCUUAUAAGCCAAAGCCAAAAUUUGAAUUUAAAAACUUAAAUUUGAAUUUGAUUCUUUUUCAACAUAGUUUUUUUUUCAACUUUGGCUUUUCAAUCACUAAGAACAUAUAUACAAAAGUUUUACUCACAUAUUAUUUUUUAAUCGCAAAUAAGCCCGUUAUGACUUAUAAUAAGCGAGACUAACCGAUGGGGGCCUUUGUUUAUCUGUCCAUCUCCAUCUAUAAAUAUGUAGAGUUGAUCCAUUCGAAGGUUCUCCUGCACAUGCGUUUCAUUUCGACUUUGAAGCCGUCUUCCAUCCUUCCCCUUAAUCAUGGGUUUUUCUUUGAUUUUCCUAAAAGGGAUAGAUUGAUUGAUGACGUGGCGACGAUUUGGUCCAGGUAGACGCCCGCCAUUCAGCCAGUCAGCCAGCCACGUGAUUAUAAUCUGGACACACGUAUGUGAUGCGGUACGGGAUUACGCUGAACGUGCGGGCCAUACAUAUCAAGAUGGGCUGGAAGUGUACUGGGCUGGUAGUGCGGCAUAAUAUUUUCUGGCCCAGAUCGGAAAUAGCAACGAGUGUGCGGCAUAUAGUAUUAUUUGGGCCGUAACGGCAUUUCAGUAGAAUUUGGCCCAUUAGUCCGUGGGUGGUGGGCCUUGUUGACCAGGAGCAGGGAGGGUCGGGAUCAAAGGCCCAUCAAUCCAUUACGGCCCAUGCCGAGCAAGUUAGUGCUUGUAAAAGGUACUCCCAGAUCAAAAACAAUUAUGAGUUGAUGCAUGCUUGGCACGUAACGACAUACUGAUGAAAUACUACUCCUCUCGUCGCAAAAAUAAAAGCUUACAACCGAAUGAAUCAUUUAAUAGCCUGUCUAGAUUUAUAGUAAUAAAAAAUAUUACAUUCAGUUCUUAUACCUAUAUUGUGAGCGGCAAAAAAUUACCGCAGGGUUACGUGAGCUUGCGGUGCUUGCCAUCGGAGCUAGCUGGAUCAUGCAAAGACUAUGUAUGUGUGGAUCGUGGAUACAGUACCGAUCGUCUGGCUUAUUAGUAAAGCCAAUGCUAUAUCUCAAAAUAAAUAAAUUUAAAAUUUUAAAAUUUGACUUUUUCUUUAGCUUAUUAGACCAUGGGAGCCUACAUGCAUAUAUGUCGUACGUAGCUAAUUAAUGCAACGCACUACGUACAGUCGUCGGCCGAUCGAUAUCAACCAUAUGCAUGCAUAUGGGUUAUCUAACACGUAGAAUUAAUAUCUUAAUUACGGGAUCAAAUCGAUAUCGGAUCGGAUAUUGCAUAUGCGUACUGACGCGGCAUGAAUGUGAAUUAAUAAUGGAUAAAUAUUUCAAAUUACAUGCGGCAACGGCAAGCGAUCGAUCGAUCGAUCUGCUACGUCGAUCUCAUGCGUAUCGAGAUCGAUCGAGAUCCAGCUAGCUAUAGCAAUUGCCGACGCGUCCAAGCUUAAUUAACUUUACCUGAUCGAUGGAUGACGACCUCGCUUAGCAAGCGGCGCGUGAAAUUAAUUUUAACUACGCGCAUAGUAUCUGUGUACGUACGUACGUACAACUAAUACGUAUAUAUAGCUCCUAGCAGCGAGAGCAGCAAAGUCUCCUCCCGCAAAAUUCCAAGUGUUCGAUCCACCGUGCUCCACCUUGGCUAGCUAGCUGCCAUUCCGUCCCAUAAAAAGCAAAUUCUAGCUAUAAAUCUGGACACGCAUAUAUAUAUAUAUAUAUAUAUAUAUAUAUAUAUAUAUAUAUAUAUAUAUAUAUAUAUAUAUAUAUAUAUAGUUAGGAUUAAUUUUUUUUACGGAUGUAUUAAAGAAAAGAAAAGGAUAUAUAAAAGACUAUGUCAAUUGUAAUGUUUCCCAUAUUCCUAUUAAUUAAUAUAUAUAAAUAUUAUAUCGAUAUUCUUGUGGUUUUAAUUUGUGCUAUAAAAUAAAGUGGUCAACUAUAGUUGUUUAUUAGAGCCAUAAUAGCAUAUAACUAUUGUAAGAAUGGAUACAAUUAAUUACUUUUAAUCUUAAAUUUAUGCGAUGAGUUUAAGCUAUAUAAUAUUAGAAAACCCCUGCAAUUUAUCCAUAAACUUAGUCAAAUUUAGAGCAGUUUAACUUUGAUCAAAGUAAAAACAUAUUAUAACCUGAAACAGUGGGAGUAUGCAUAACAUGAAAACAAUUCACUAAACUAGGGAGAUAGCUACAACACGUAACAUGAUAAGCAUGAAACUCGCUUGCCACGGAUAUAUAAUUACUCCAUCUCCUUUAACUUGAUUACAGCCGCAACAAAGGAGCAUUUUAUAACGCCAUGUUUUGCGUCCACUUAAUAUAUAUGUCUCUGGUUAAACACACGGCGGUUUUUUCCCCAAAAUAAGCAUAACGAGAGAAAUAAGGCAAUCUCACUCAAUUUCCUGCACAUUUCUAUGUUGAAUCAUUAGUCGCCAUUGAUUACAUGUCAAGCUCAACAUAUAUUUGAUGUUAUGUUACUCAAACACUACACACCACAGUUACAUGCCAACAAAAUAAUAAAGAAGAUAUAUAGCCACAUAUCUGUGGUGCAAAUUGUAAGGUUGUGUGCAUAUUGCUAUUGCUCGAUGGAUCGCUUUCGUGUUCCUUGUGAUGUGUUGCUUUAUCUUUUCUCCUUUCCAGUGUGUGCCAGAAAGAGGACACCUUUCUCUUCUUGGCUUUUGGAUCUUGUUUCUUGCCUUGCAAGAGCUAGCUUCCCCUAAUAAUCUCUCUCUCUCUCUCUCUCUCUCCAUUGCUAGCUAUAUAGCUACAUUCCUGGGUCGAUCCCUAUAUAAGAGGAGAGGCAUGAACUCAAAUGAAAUUUCCAAUAAGCUCCACAUGUCGUGAGAGCAGAGCACCGGCCGGUUGAUCGAGAUAACACAGUUGGAGAGUUUUUUCUCCUUUUCUUUUUUUCUGUUUAAUUCAUCCGGCGAGUCAGAUGAGGUCUUCGUCGUCACCUUCGUUGGCUAAAUCCAUAUUUAGCCUCGGAACUCGUAAGUAGACACUUGCUAUACAUGUAUAGCAUCUUUGAAUUCAACAGUUUUAUACUGGAAGCUUAUUAUAAAAUUCUGCCAAUGUUUAAACUUUUUUUAAGUAGCAACAUGCAUGCAUGACCUCAUAAUAAAAUCCAUAUUUGUCAGCUCUUGUGUGUUUCGGUUUUGUUCAGUUUGCGCAAAUCGUUUUGAAAGAUCAAACUACCUACAAUGUUCCACUCGCCUUAAUUCAUACUCGUUAACUAAUCCCUACAUUUGCAUCAGAACAAAAGUUAUGGUAGGCAAGCCUGCAGCUAGCUAGAAUCAAAACUUUAAUCAAGAAGCACACACACAAUUAUUCACUUAAAAUAACUAUGGUGGGUAAGCCAAUUAGUCCUGUGUAAUUUAGAUUAUUGAGUAGGUUGUUGCUACGGAUUAUUCACUUGAUUAUAUAUAAAAAGUAUAAAAAUUUUGAGAUACAAACUUAGCAAAUAACUUAAUACAAUUGGUAUGAGCAAUACAACAGAGAUUUUUUUUCUUUUCUUCAGAAAUGUAUUUUCUGAAGCGUAGAGCAAAUAAUCUGUUUCAAUAAUCGGACAAAUAAUCUGAAAACUAAACAGGGUACAUUUAGGCCGGUUAACCGACCUACAAAUGCAUGCUUUUCCUCAAGUUUCAUCUGCUAGCUAAGCUAUAGCCAAUAGCUUGUACACGUUGCACACUAGAGAGUCAAUGGUAGUGUAGCUAAAUUGCACACUUGCAUCACAAGCAACAGCAAGCUAUAGAGAUAGCUGUGCUCCCAAAGAGACUCAUCUCCAUUUCUUGACGCUUUCGCGCUCUCAUGCUUGCUCUUCCGCGUUGUUUGCCGCCUUAAUUUAAUUAAUUUGCUGCUUUAACUAACUACUAAUAACUUACUAACUUGGUCGUCGUCUUCCUCAUCUUCGCGCCAAUGCUGCAGAGGGAGCCAUGAUCGAGAGAAGCAACUCCACCCCUUCCGCCACUCCGGCGAGGCCACCGCUCGCCGUCGACGAGGAGUACAACCAGGCCUUCCGCUCCAAGUCCUUCCUCGACCUAUGGUCUCACGCCCACCACCACCUCACCCACACCUUCUCCUCCUUCAAGCUCUCCACCUCCACCCCCUGCGCCGGCCGCGGCGGUGCCAGGGAGGACGACUUCUUGCACGCCGGCGGUGAUGGCGGCGCGGCGGAUGACUCGGAGCAGUCGUGCUCUUAUACUGUUCUUGACGACUUCGUCCUCGAGCCGAGCCCGGAGUCGCUUGCUCGGGGUGCUCGUCUCCAGCAACGGCGGCGGCGGCGGCCGCGGCGUCACCGCGUGGAGACGCUGCUGAUUGAGUAUUUUGAUGUGACGGAGGAGGCGUGCGAGGCUUGCUCCGCGCUGCUCGCCGCCAUCGGCGCCGCGCGGCGGCAUCACCUCACGCUCCGACGGCUGCUGCUCCGGCUCGACGGGGGAGACGACGACGACGCCAAGGAUGCCCUCGCGCGCCAUGUCCGCCUCGACAACCCGCUCUCCCCGGGCAGCCUCUCGGAGUUCCACGACGUGCACGCCCGGUGCUCUCCGCUGGCGUCGCCCGACGCUGCCGCGAGGGACGGCCACCGCCGGAUCCGGGCGGGGGAUGGCUUGACGAGCCCGUAGUAGGCCGUCGUCGUCCACCCGCCGCUGCCCCGCCGCUCCCUUAUGCCGUCGACAACCACAACCUCCUCCUCACAAGAUCCCACCGGUGCCGUCACUGAUUCAUGGCCGGAGUAGGGAAGGGAGCCCUUGUCCGAGCCGCCUCCAGUGACCGAUGGGAGCGCCGUCGUCGCCCGCCGCUAGCGCAAGAUGUCGCCAUCGCCCGUCGCCGAAGGAAGCAGGAGGAAGCCCGAAACCGCGCCCGCCGCCGCUCGGCGGUGGAGGAGGUGGAGCCGCCGCGCCUCCCGCCCGCCGACGCCGCGCCCGCAGUCGCUCGUCGCCCCGAGCCGCCGCCACCGCUUCUUCUCGCCGCACGAGAAACUGCCGGAUCCGUAAAAUGUGGAGAGGGAGUCAGGGAGAGGAAAGUGGCUGGACGGUUUCUAAUAUAUAUAGCUAUAGCAUGUAGAUUCGAUAGUAAACAAUUUACUAGUAAAUUUGGGAGGGGUAGGGGGCGCCGGUGGUUGAGGUGCACGGGGGUGGGUUGGGAGGGGUGGGGGUAGGUCGGUAGGAUGUGAGUAUAGAUGGCCAUCUGGGCCGCCCGGCACGGCACGGCCCAAGCCCGGCCAUGCCUGGGCCGAGGCUUGUCGGGCCGGCACGGCCCGACCGAUGCACCGGGCCGUGCCGUGCCAGCCCACGGGCGGCAUACUCGGCCCAGGCACGGCCCAAUACUAGUCGGGCCGUGCCGGGCCGGCCCGAAGGCACGAUGGGCUAUUGUGCUGCCUCACAUAAAGAGUUUAUAUUUGGUCCCUCAAUUCCGUGGGCUGUGUUUAAAUGGCUGGAAAUAAGUCUAUUUUUAUCCCUCAACUCUGUGGCUGUGUUUAAAUGGCUGGAAAUAAGUCUAUUUUUGAUCCCUCAGCUCUGUGGGUUGUGUUUAAAUGGCUGGAAAUAAGUCUAUUUUGUAUACCUAUUUUCUUGGGCCAUGCCAUAUACGAUUAUAUAAGUCUAUUUUUUGUCCCUACAUUUUUUUUAUUUGAUCGGGCCGUGCCGGGCCGGCCCACCGUGCCGAGGGUGCAGCCCAGGCAUGGCCCGGCUGUCGGGCCGGGCCGGCACGGGCACGACCCUAGUCGGGCCGGGCCGUGCUUGGGCCGGGCCAAAAUUGCGGGCUUCGUGCCGGGCCGUGGGCCUCGGGCCAUAUGGCCAUCUAUAGAUGUGAGGGGGAGCAUGUAUAUAUAUAUAUAUAUAUAUAUAUAUAUAUAUAUAUAUAUAUAUAUAUAUGUAAAAUUGAUCUGGAAUGUGGCGGUUACAUGGGCCUGAACUGAUGUGAGGAGAAAAUUUGUUCUACUUGCUAGGACAUGAUAUGAUCUGGACAUGAAAACGGAAAACGUGGAGCAAUUUGGGAGGGGGCGAUAUGGAGGAAUCGGACCGGAAAAUCGUAAAAAAAUACGCACAGGGAGGAAAUGAAAUUGGACUGCGCAGCGCAUUAUACUGGGACAACGUACAAAAAUACUUGGCAAAAGCAUCUUAAACAUUUAUGAUAGGUAAAGAUCUACAUAUUUCAAUAAAAAAAAGUCCUACCUAAAAUUUAAAACUAACUCAAAAUUUGAAAACUUUGAACUCUCAACGUGAAAUUUGAACUUUCAACUCGAAUUUUGAAACUUUCAACCUGAUUUUAAAAACUUUCAACUUGAAUUAUGAAAACUUUCAACUGGGAAUUUAAAAACUUUUAACGCGAUUAAAAAAAUUUCUAACUCAAACUUCUAAAACUUUCAACUCGAAUUAUGGAAAAUUUCAACUGAAAAUUCAUGAUCUUUCAACUAUUUUUUAAAACUGUGAACUAUCCUUAAAAAAAAUAAUUAUUGAUGUAUUUUUUUAAAAAAAAAUAUUACUCCAGUACAUAUUACCAUUAGCGCUAAUUAGGUCAUUUGCGGACUAAUCACCCCGGGUGCGGGCAUCCCAAAUAAAAGCCUUCGCUCCACCCGUCUACGUCUGUUUGUUGUAUUCCCCUUCCUUACCCCCAAAAUCGAAAUCCCUAAUUCGACGCCAUGGCCGCGACUGGCGGCGCCGCCGGGGAGAAGACGGCCAGCAGCCUCCUGCUCGGCGUCCGGGGCUACACGUCCACCCUCAAGAACGCCUCCACCGCCAGCUGCAGGUUGAGCGCCGGCCAUCCCAUCGAGGUGACUUUGUGGGAGGCGUCCCCGCCUGCCCUCUCCCACUUCUCCGUCCACUGCCCCGAUCUCCCAUCCUUCAAUGGCAAUCUGCUUGGCGCGCCUAAAGCCAUCGCCGCCGCCGUCGACGACGCCGACGGCCAGCUCCUCCUCCUCCUCCGAGUCCCCAUCGAUCAGCUUGGUGCCCCGCAUGACAACGACUACUUGGUCUACCAUCCGGAUCCCCCGUCUCCGAAACUGGAUCUGCUCCCCAACCCGCCUCCCCCUACCCUCGGUGACCACCAGCUUGCCAUACUCAGCUGCGGCGACGACCGCUACGUCGUGGCCGCCCUCCACGUCUGGAGUGAGUUCACUUCCACGCUGCGCCUGUACAGAUCUUCUUGUUCGUCUGGGAGUUGGACAUCGGAGGAGGUGUCCGUGGAGGAGCCGGUGAGGGACAGGCUGUGCCCGAUCCCGGACUCAGCCAAGAGGCAGCUGUACCACGUCACCACCAAGACCAUCACGCUCGGAGGUGCGAAGGGCACCGUGGGCUGGGUUGAUCUCUGGCGCGGCAUCCUCCUCUGCGACGUGCUCGACGAAAUGUCUCCAAGGAAGCUCCGCGACAUGCCGCUGCCGUGGCCGGCCAAGGGCAAUUGGAGGAUGUACCUCAAUGGAGAUGUGUCCUUUUGUCGGGACAUCGCCAUCAGCCAACACAAGGAUUCCAUCAAGUAUCUGGAGAUGGAGAUCGUUUCACCAAGAACGGUGACCACCACCAUACCCACCUCCACCUCUGCAGAUCCUACUUCAUACCUUGAAUGGGUUCGCCGCAGCAGAGAACCUCAGCCGACACGGCGACGCUCCGUGUUCCACCCUGGUUCGUGGAGAAUCACUACAUGGAGCAUGCCUAUCCCGGUCACUUCAUGGGACGACUGGCGCCGUGACUGCACUGCUGAAUCGCGUGAAGUCCAUCUUGACACCAACCCAAGUCACCAUUACGAGUUGCUUCAUAGCCUCAUGCUCAGCAACAGCGGUGAUGAACACAGGGAGGAGGCUCAAGGUCAAGGGGCAACCUCUUCCUUGUCCCUAGGUCGCCUGCGUUUGUGUUACCCGGCCUUGAGUUGCAUCGAUGAUGAUGUUGUUUACCUCUUGGGCAACGCUGCUGGCAGGGGUGCUAAGACGGGAGGAAUGAUGGUCGCUGUUGACGUCAGGAACAAGGAGCUGCGAGGAGUGGCCAAGCUUGACCCCGAAAAGAACACCCUCUACUCCAUGCGAUGCUACCUUGCAACUGGGAUCUCCAAACGCCUCAACACUACCACAGGUACUUAAUUACCGCUCGUAUUCCAGAACAAAUGCAGCGCCAUGUGCAUAUGGGUAAUAAAAUGCCAUUUAAGGAUCUAGGGCUGAUCAUUAUAGUUCUUUGUUUAUGAUGGUCCGAAUGACCAAACUAGGACUAGAAUGUAGUAACUUUAUUUAGGGUGAUAGGCUUGAUAUGUUGAUACAAGGGCAGAACAGUACCAAGAGUCCUUUUGGCAGAGUAGUACCAAUACUCAUUAUGCAAUAUACUGUUUUGUGUGAGUUUCAGACAAACGUUGUGUUUCUAACUGUACUUGCAAAAACAAAACCUGAACUCUGUUAACAGAAUAAAGACACCUCCACUAAAAUGUCGACGACUAAUGCAUAAAAUUAUUUGCGUUCUUCGUGAAAAUUCAUAGCAGUAAAUGUGUCGUCACUCUUGUUUCCUUGUCAUUAUGCGUGUAAUAUAUUUUGCUAGCAUGCAUUUAAAUAUGAAGUAAUUAAUCAAAGUGCAUUCGUACCAUGUCAAAAGAACAAGAGAAUAGAGCAAGUAAUAAUAAGGUAGUACUUGACCAAAGCAUACUUGAAAAAGUAGUAUAUUGCUUUAGGUUUUGCUUUUCCUGUUGUACUCAAUGUGGACAACAUGAAUGCUCUUCCUCUUGAGUACUAAUUCUUGCUUCAAGGACAUUUUAUGAGAUAAUAGCUAUUUUAUUUGAUGUAGACACAAGAGUUGGACGACCUGAGGAGGAUGCAGAAGCCGCCGAGUAGAAUGUGCGAACCCAGUGACAUAUAUGCAUCAUACUGCAGCCUGCCUGGAUGCAAAUAUUAUCGUAUCAGUGGUUUGUUGGCUUGAAUGGGGGUUAAGGAGUUGUGCUGUUGCUGGGCAUAUAUAGUUUUGUGACAAGAAUCUUAUCCAGGUUGCUUACUUUGGGUUGAUGAUAAAAGUAGGAGUAGACGUGAAUAACAUUAAUAUAUGUUGGCUUAUUUUUUGAGGGGAUGUUGGCUUAUUUAUGUGGCACUAAUUGUCUUUAUGCCUUUGAGUUAAACACAAAACAAUGAUCCAACUCUUUGAACCUGUUUGUUUCAAGUAAUGAGUUGAUGAAUUUUUCACCACUUGGAGUCCUCCCUCAAACUGGAUCUGCUCCCCGCUGCCUCAAACUGUUUUUUUUUUUUGAACGAAUGUGUUUUCUAAGUUCAUUCUCAGAACAAUGCCCGCCAUCAGAUUCAUCGACUAGCAUAGCAAGACAGUAUAACUUUUUACCAAAGAAAACUGAUUAUAUAGUAUAUAUAGAAUACUUGUCUUACACACAGUGACAAUCCAACAAUAUCUAUGCAACAGGAAUAAUAUGUUAGUGUGCAGAUCAUACCCUCUCAACUCUGAACUCUUCUGCAGCAGGGAGUUCAAGAUAUAUUUUGUACAUAGCUGACAGUGCACCAUUCCGGACAGCGGGACAGAGAAGCUCCAAUCAAAAGUCUCCGAUGUUCUGUCUUAUCUUCUAGGUUUUCGGGCUUGGCUCAAUUGGAAAGGCCCAAUUGAUUUUGGGCUUGAGUACAACGCAGCAUAAGGCGCCACCGAUUAGGCCCAAGUACAGGUAUACUCAAUUAAUUACCACUACUACCACUACAGGUAUACUCAAUUAAUUACCGCUCCUUGUUGUCAUGUCUGUUAUUUGCGUGCUGUUCUACGAGAGAUUAAUCUCUUUGGCUUAAAUUUCUGUCUCAAUUCUUAACAUGCAUAACAGAUUUUAAUCGGUCAAUAUAUAAGUUAGGCUAAACUUUGUUGUGUUCCUUUGCUUGCCGGCAUGUAAGUUCCGAAGAAUUUUGUUUAAACUCUACAAUGUUUGGCCAAGAAAAUUUCUCAUAUCUAGCUAAGAAGAACUAAAAGGAAAAGAGCUGCUGCUCUUGUUCGCCAGUAAUCUGCAUCAAUGGAUAGUGUAUACUGAUCAUUCCGGCGUUGACAUGGCGAAAAGUAUUUUGUCAAUAGGAAGGAGGAGAAUCACACGCCAAGUGCAUGCAUGAUUUUUCAAUUCAUUUCAAGGCAAAGUUUCUAGACAAAGCUAGGUUCUCGAUAAGCCGGCCACUUUGAUUUGAUGACAAUUAGGUUAAUUAAGGCAAUCUUCUUGCCUUUCCUUUUCUAUCAAUAGUGGACAAAGGUGAGAGCUGAUAUUUAUUAUAUCCUGUUAGCCAUUCAGAAAGUGCUUUCCAUGACAUUCCAAACGAAAUGAUAUUUUUCUCAUGUUCAGUCGGCCAUGCAUCUUCAGUUUAACUAAACAAGACAAAAAAAAAAAAAACUUAUAUCCAACAUAAGAUAUAUAUGCCCUAUGAGCAUAAACGCACUCAGUGAUAAAAUAUACUAGUAAGAGGUAAAGCUAAGGUGAAUGCUGACAAGAGACAAGCCCAUCUGUCCCUCAAAGAUAACAAAUACUACUACUGAUUGAAACAAAAUUAAAGCAUGAUAGCCACUUCUGAAUUUCUGAAUGGCUGAAGGGGAAAAAAAUUGAACAGGAUACUGCAUGCUGAUCGAGUUGAACAAGUAAGAAAAGGUGUUCAUCUUUGCAGAGACAAGAUCUAACACAUUUCUAACUGCAGAGGUAGUUCAUAGCAUCCAUCGAUCACCUACACACAAUAUCCUCUCUCAUGCCUGACCCCUGCACAAACGCACACCGGAUUGCAAAUACACAUAAUUUAGAUCUUUCUAAUGAUUUUGUAUCGUCAGAUAAUCUUGCUUGUUUUGGUCGACCUUCAGAAUUGAGUUGAUGAAGUUCGUCGCAGUGAGCUCUUUGUAGGCAUCACCAGUGCAGCAAAUAGAAGAUGAAUUACAAGACUUACCUGUGAUGAAUUACAAGACUUACCAGGCAUCACCUGUCAAAUAAUCCAUUGAUGAAGUUAGUUUAGAAACUCAAGAGAGUACCGUUAUAAAUGCAGACUUAACAUCAAGGCUAGCACAAAUAGAAGAUGAAUUACAAGACUUACCUGUGAGAAUGAAGAUAAGUUGAAAAGUUGAAGGAUAUUACUGUUAUUGUCAAGGACAUGGGAGGACCAGAGAGCUUACCCAGUCAUUACAAUUUAGAGAUGAACCACAGAUUUGCAUAUGGAAAAUGAUAUAAAUGAUAUAAGAGGUUUGCAAGAUGAUCUGAGAUCUAGCAAUGAGAAUUUGCUAAGAGAAGAAAGACUGAUAUAAGAGCUUUAGUCUAUCCUUGCAAGCCUGACUUCGAAACUUAGUCAAAAGAGUAUGGCCGUGCUUUUCAAUUUCUUAUGUAGUCUUAGCUGCCUCCAAUUUGUUCACUUGUUGGAUAGAUUAGGUAACAUAAAUUUGAUUGAUUUUCCUGAUGAUCAUAGAUUUGUUCACCUCCUCCGCCAUCUUGUGCCUGGCGCCGCCUCCGUCUUCGGUUUGCAAACGUGAACACUGGCAUCACCUACAUGAAAAAUCAAAUGGUUAAUGGUGUGCAACACUGUCAACUUUAAGGUGAAUUUGUGUCAACAAAAUUUCAGUCAAGCUGCACAAAAGAUUCAAAAGUCCCUGAAAUAAAUUGAGAUAACAAACAAUCCUCCAUGCAUAACAGUAUUGAGUACUGGCCCCAUUCGAGUUUAAGAUAAAAGAUUAAGUUCGGACAGGUAAAACGAGAAAAUCAUUAACAUCUCACUAAUUAAGGUUUAAUUAUUUUAAAAUUGAAAAAUAGAUUUAUCUUAUAAUUAAAGCUUCUAUAUAAAUUUUUUUCGUUCGAAAUAUACAGUUCAACAGUUUAAAAAAACGAAUUUAUAAAAAUCUAGGUAAAAUCUGUAUCUUAAUCAGAAAAAGAAAAAUAGAGGCUGAAGAAGCCUUGAGAGAGCAGUAGAGUAUGGCACUGGGAUGAUGCCAAACUGCUUUCAGAACCGAUUCACUGCUGCUGUUGGCAUCUGCAGAUUUGAUGAGUUCAGCUCCAAAAUGAAAUCUGCAUAAGCAAAGCAUCAUGAGUUCUGAAAAGCGAACUGUUUUUUUUUAAAAAAUCUUACAGAUAUGAACUGUAUUACAAGCAGCUGCGAAGCCACAAACCUAUAGCUCUGGCAAAUCCAUCUGGGCAGCACCGAGUCGCCGGCGCGUGCUGCGUGGCGGCGGCAACGCCGGGAGGGACGAGGCGGGAGGAUGAGAGCACCACGGCAAUCCUCUGCACCGAUGAGAUGAUGCUGCACAUGUACUGCUGCGCCAUGGCGGGCACGCUGCCCUGCAGGUGGCUCUCGAACGCGAACUGGAACGCGAUCGUCAUCACCGCCUUGGAGCUCGCCGCUGCUAUUGAUGCCGCUGAUCCUGCUCCAUGGCGUCGCUGCUUCGAGCAUGGAAGCGAGAUCUAGCAUGCAGUUCGAGCUAGAUGUGUCCUAACAUUUGCAAGGAAAGAAAAUCCAGAAGAAUUAUGUUUUUUAUAGCAUAAAAAUUUUAGAAAAUUUGAUUCGAAAUGCUAGUGUAUUAUCUAAUUGUGUGAGAUUUACUUACAGAGGAGAAUCGAUAGGGAUGAUGUAGAAACCGGAAGGCAGCAGCGGAGAAUCAUCACUGAACGAUGCAUCGAUGGGUGCAAAGAUUAGCUCUGAACAUGUUCCUGCACUGCUCUCCUCUACUCCAUUGUACAUCUGCCAUUGCAAUCAGGCCAAGAACACAAGUUUUACAGAGGAAAAAAGAAAAUGAUUCUUCAACUGGUGAUAAGUUUCAUGAAUCAAGAAGUCACCUGCAAGAGGAACAGAUCACGGUGCACCAGUGUAUCUUGGUAGUUUCUGGUGUUUCCUAGCUUGAUAACUUCCAGGAACUGAAACAGUAGAUGGUUGCACCAAAACAUCGAGCAGGAAAACAGAAUUGGACAGGACCUUUUUUGUAACCGACAGACAGUAGAAGAUGGACUUACCUCUGCAGGUUCAAAAGUGUGUGCUAAAGGAAGUAUGACCUGACCACUGAAUCCUCCAAGACGAGACAUGGGUAAAUUGCAGAAGUUUGGUUUCAUCGUCAGCCCAUUGUGACUGGUGUUCGCGCAAAAAUUGCAGUAGUGAUGGAGGAGAGACAUCCUAGCAAACAGCAGAAGAAAUAUUGUAUGAAAAAUAUUGGCAAUUACAAAACAAACAAAAAGAAAGUACUAAUUCUAGUUUCAUAGUGAAGCUAACCUGCAACAGCAUGGAUGCCUUGGCACAAAGAACACCGGUACUGACAAUAGUGAGUCCACUGCUGAAUGUUGCAUUGCAACCGGUCACUUUGGAUGAAUUGACAGAGAUGCAAACAUCGUCGAUGCCAUCGCUCUCGAUCACGGACCAUCCAUCAUCCGCAAGCCCAUUGAGAACUUCAUUGAAGCCUCUGAAAAGAGAGCAUGCAAAAUUAUUUUUCACACUUUUGAACUGAAGAUUCAUGGCAAGAACCAAGAAGCAUCUGCUGUUCAGGAGUCCUACGUGGUGAGCUUUUUGGCUCAGAGCAUGCAAAGCCGCAAGCUUCCUUCCCCAUCCUGUGAUCACAGAACGGGUAUCUUUGUAGGCAACCUGCCUCAGGCAGCGUAAAGACUGAAUUUUGCAUGACUGAAUUAGGCAAUAAUUUUUACAAAUCAACAAGAACAUCAAGAACAGGGUACUAUAAUUACUGUACCGCCAUCGAUAUCUUCUGCGCAACCAAGGCAGAAGAUUCAUACAGAGGUCGCACAACUUCAGGCACGCUCCAAGGCUGUGAACACAAAAAAAUUGGCUGAAAUUUCUUUCUGCUAGAUGAAUGAACUAUUUGGAUAAGAAAUUGUAAUGGUUAUUAGUUAUUACCUCCAGGUCCAUAUGAUCAACGAUGUGUAUCACGCUGCCUCCACCAUCGCUAGGUCGGAUCAAGAACCCACUGGGAAGCAUCUCAUCUCUGAUAAAAGGCUGGACAAGUGGCAUGCUUGGGCCUCCUUGCUUGCUACUGAGUGAUCUCUCACACACCUUCAGAAUUCAGAACAAGAACAUUCAGGCAAGCAGACAAGACAUCAUAGUGACACACAAAUACUUUGGUAUUAAUUGCACAUCAGCACAUGGAUAAUUUGUUUUGCGCUCCAUGAUCAGACAACUAACCACUAAGCUUCCAUCACCGAGAAUGGAGGUGUACCGCAGCAGCCAGAAGUCGUGAGCCGGCGCCAGCGUCGUCGGAGCAUAGAGUUGAAGACUGAAUACAGAUUUCAGCUUCGGAAUUUCAGGUUGAGCUAAGAAUUUGCCACAAAAAUUUUCAGGCUUGUCUGUUCUUGCCUGCAUGUAGAGCAGCUUGACCUUCCAUUUAGCACAACACUAAUGAGUUAAAUCAGAACAUGAACAACCAGACAACUACCCUACCCCUGCAUCAGAAACAUGAAGCUGCACAGAUAAGUUUUUAUCUCAGUCGUCAUAAAGCAGUGAAGAAAAUCAAGCAAAAAAUGUAAUUGCACCAACGAGUGAGAUGGACAGAUUGUUGCACCUCAUUAAAAAUAAAAAGCCCCAAACCUCCUCUAAGUCAAUGAAAAUUAUAGGGAAUGCAAUAAGCCACGAAAUAAUUGCAUGCUAGAAAAAAGUGGCUUGAAUAAACUAAUCUGAGAGCUCCAGUCCACGGUUGGUUUCUCUUAAACAUUGAAUUAUAUGAAGGCCUCUAUUCAAUGGGUUUAUUAGUAUCAACUUGCAUUUAACAGGAACAAUGGCCACUACAACUGAAACAAUGGUACAAUACGAUCAUCAAAGAUUCAAAGUUGUCAAGCUCUGUGACCAAUAGAUACUUACCUUUUAAUUGAGUUGCCAAUGCCCCAACGUUAUAGCCUGAUCCUUACCUUUCGGCUUCUUGCUAUUACCACCCUACUACAAUGCUAUUUCUAUCACCUGAAACAGUAAGAAUCAUGGAAAAAAGAUUCUCGGUUAAUGAUGGCAAGGAUUGAGACUCUGACCGUCCAAAAGAAAUAGUUCAUGCAGCAAUAAGAAAUUAAAAAUCGGCAUCAAGUACACGAGAUAGCCAAAUAAUGGAUCAGGGAAAUGACAUUUAUUUGAUCCCUGCAAAAUUUGCACAUGAACAUACUACUUGCCUAUAGAUGAUGGUGGUGUGGCCGUGUGGGCAAUAUUGGGUGCAUAUGAAAAUGCUGCAAGAAAAAAAAAGGGUGCCCUUUAUACCGAUCAAGAAAAAGAAGUGCAUUUUAGCUUGAUCAAGAACUAACCCAAAAGCAGGCUACUCGUCAACACUGUUUCACUCCCUCUCAGUGAUAUGUGUUCAUGUCUAUUCGGCCAGCAAGCACAUUGCGUUCGUCAAUACAUGCUGUCACUGCCCUUUUGAUCGCCCGCAGAAGAGCCACCCCAGCAUGCACGCAGACAACAAGACAACAACAAGCUUUGAGUUGAAGGGAAAUCCAGAUUAUAUAUUUGAUAUUAGUUAAUUCAGUGUCUCAAAAAAUAUCAUCAACUCCAAUUUGAUGACCAAAAAUCCUCUGCAAAACUGAUAAUUUUACAACCUUGAUGCUACAGAUCAAAUAACAGGACUGAAUGUGCCCUAGCUCCAAAUAUCACAAUAUAGGUGGUAUGUGUUCCUAUCGGGCUAACCUCACCUACUUCAGGGAAGAAAUUGGUCAGCAGCCAUACUUGGAUAAUGGCAGCAUGACCGUCGCCGUGGCCUCGCACCGCCAGUGGCCGGCGCACGCGCAACACACCAGGUCCUUCCGCUUUGGUCACCACUUGCCACUCUUUGCCUCCAUUAAUGACACCACCUCAGCGACUAGCCACCAUAGGUUUGGCCCCAACAAUCACUUGAAAUGAAAGUUGAGAUUACAAAUACGGCAAGCAGGAAAGCCGGUGAAAUCAAACUGCAGCAUCAUGCCAUUCUCCUCUCAAAUAUGGCCGUAAAGCAACACAAGAAGGGAUGUUUUUACCUCUCAAAUCUGUUUGCCGACACCGCCGCUGUGGUGGAGGAGGAGGCCACCAUGUAACACAGAACAUGUAACACAAGAAGGAUGGCAGUGUUUUAUCAGACUUGAUUUGUACCUGAAGGGCGGCAUGUUGGUGGGGAAUGCGUAGAUGCAGAGAACCAUCUCCAUCGGCCGGCAUGCUUGGUCCGCCACAAACCGCACCGGAUCUCAUCGCUGUGUUCUUGUAUCCGCCCCUGCCGAGGUCAGAGCACAAUCCACACCGCUGCUGAUUUACUCCAAUCCAUUCUUUCUAUGAAAAGAAGAAAAUCGAAAUAUCAAAAAAGGAACACAAAACUGAGUUCAACUUCAACCGCACAUCAUUAUGCACGCUGCAAACCUUACCUCCGUGAGACACGCACCAACAGCGGGAAACACGACGAUGAUACCAGCAAUGCAGCACCAAAGGAUGGGGAGAAGCUGUGCCGCCAGUCGAUCUGCGGCGCCCUCGCUUGAUCCGCCGUUGGUCCCAUUCGCACGAAAGGGGAAGAAAUGAAGACAUCAACCGAAGAGGCAGGGAGGGGAGAAGACAGAGCGACGCGACGAGGCGAGGACGAAGAAAGUAUUGGGGUGGAGGCGCUCGAGGAUGAGGAGGCCAGCGCGAGCUCGCAUCCGGCGCUGCACCCGUCCCCCGCCGCCUACGCCGCGAACGCCGCGGCCGUGAGGACAAGGAUGAGGAGGAAGGUGGAAGCUUCCACGGCGGGAGGUCGCUCGUGACGAAACCCUAGCGACGGGGCGGGGACGGGGAUGGGGGCGGCGACGCGAGGCGUGGACGGGGGCAGUGGUGGCCGGCAACGGAGGCGGUGAAGGGCGGAGAAUGGACCGGCGGCGGAGGAGGAGGAUGGCUGAGGGAGAGGGAGGAGGGGCGGCGCGCGGGGCGGCGGCGGCGGCGGCGACGCGAGGCGGGAGAAGGAGAGGGAGAGGGCGAGACGGGGGACGGGAGGGACGAGGAGACGAGCAGGCAGCGGCGGGCAGGUUGGGGGCUUGGGGCUGGGCGCACGGCGUUUUUGCGAAAAAGACCCUCGUCUUUCAAGUUUUACAGCGCGACCCUAACUCGCCACAUCUCCCUUCCUCCUAUGCAAUAACUGUAUUCACCAGAGGCCUAAACGUAAAUAGACAACUCGGUGGGACUGUUCAUGGAGGACGGCGGCCGAAUUACGCGCGAAGCGGAGGGCCUUUUCACAAAAAUGCCACCCCGCGCGCUGUAUAUACUGUAGCAAAAUCCUUACGUGGCACCCCUCCUCGCUCGCCCCAUGUGCGCCGCUUUAUAUAUUCCGAUUCCGAUUCCGUUUACAGGUGGAAUUAAUCACCUGUGGUGUGAACACAUAGGGAAGCAGGGGAGGGAGCUCCUGCUCCUGCAUGACGUCAUCCGGCAGCGGUAGCGCGGUCCUCAGCCACGCCCUUUGCUGCACGGCCAGUGGCCUCCGUCCAAGAUCCCCUCGGUGCCGCGGCUUGGGGAGAGAGGCGGCUGGCGAAUCAAAAGGCAGGCAAAGACGGACGUAGCGAUGCACGUGAUUUCACCCUCCCCAUCCCCAAGCACGGCAACCGAAUUCAUCGCCACAUCCAGCGACGAGGUGAAUCUGUGCCACUGCCGCCGAGCUUGAGGGGAGAGACGCACAGAACAGCGCGCCGGCGCGUGGGAGGGUCGGCCUCGGGCGCCGGAGGGGCGGAGGUGGAGCUGGAGCUGGAGCGUGAGGAGGAGGAAGAGGCGGCGACAUCGGCGUAGGUCGACCUCCGACGAAUGAGGCGGAGGAAGCGGGGGCGGGGCUGCCGGCGGAGAGAAGGGCAUAGCAGGGUAUAACUUUUUUAAAAAGACCCCUAAAACCUCACAUAUUACAAAGAGGUCCACCGCAGCUAUUCCACACCGUUCAUCAUCGAUCCGACAGCUGAGGGAGAGGACUAACGCUGGAAUCGUAUUGUGCCACGUGGAGGGGUUGUUUGCACGCGAAUCCGCAGAGAUUUCGAUAUUAGAGAUUACGCCAAUGCAUCAGGUACAACAUUUAUAUCAUCCACGUAUACGUGGAAUAACUGUAAAAAAACAUUUGUGAUUAUUAUUUUUUAAUACUAAACUGCUUAAAAAUCGAUCAGUUAAAUUUAUCCACCGUAGUACAAUCGUUACGCUAACGCGUCAGGAACAUCGCUCAUAUCAUACACAUGUAAAGUGGAAUAUUUAAAAAAAAACUUUGUGAUUAUUAUUGAAAUACUAGACUGUUUAAAAAAUUGUUCAGUUAAAUUUUAUCCAUCGUGACAUCACUCUGUGCGCAAAUAUAGAGCAUAUUAUUUAUCUAAAAACAAACAAUUUUUUUGAGCAGAUUAGUUCUCUAAACCAAACAAUACUUUUUGAUCGCUAUACACACUCCGUAAACACCCGGUGCAACGCACGGUCACUUUUGCUAGUCUAUAUAUAUAUAUAUAUAUAUAUAUAUAUAUAUAUAUAUAUAUAUAUAUAUAUAUACAUAUGUAUGUAUGUAUGUAUGUAUGUAUGUAUGUAUGUAUGUAAAAUUGGUCUGGAAUGUGGCGGUUACAUGGGCCUGAACUGAUGUGAGGAGAAAAUUUUUUCUACUUGCUAGGACAUGAUGUGAUCUGGACAGGAAAACGGAAAACGUGGAGCAAUUUGGGAGGGGGCGAUAUGGAGGAAUCGGACCGGAAAAUCGUAAAAAAAUACGCACAGGGAGGAAAUUGGACUGCGCAGCGCAUUAUACUGGGACAACGUACAAAAAUACUUGGCAAAAGCAUCUUAAACAUUUAUGAUAGGUAAAGAUCUACUGUCACGCCCGGAAUUUCUAUCCAAAAUUCCAAACGCUUACAUGUGUGUGAACCCUCGUCCAGGAAUCAGCCGAGUCACACAAUAACAAAUUGAUAAUAGAGUACAAUUAUUACUCUAAUUAAUAAGCGAAUAAAAUGUCAUUACAGAGGUAGAUAGUUCCUCUCAAUCAAUAAAAAUCUAAGCAGCGGAAAAAUAAGAUAAACGGCGCAGACGACUCCACUCCACAGGCAGCUUGACCAGGGCUACACCUAAUCCUCCACAUCAUCAGCUUCACUGUAGAACUCUUCCUCUGAUGAAUGAUUGCAAGGUGAGUAUAUGACAUACUCAGCAAGUCACGCAGCAAAUAUGCAAGUGCACAGGAUAACAAAGGGUGGCAUAGUAGGGUUUCAUUUGCAUAAACAGCAUUUAAUAAACAUUUCAGAAUUUAUAAAACAGUUAAGUAAUAAUUAAACAAUAUUAAUCCAACGCUCUACAACAUACCCUGUUGUAAAGGCCCAACAAUUCUGAACAACCAUACCCGGCUGUACAGAUCCAUCUCCAAACCAGGAGCUAAACAAAUUAUUACCAGUUAUAGCAUCUUUUAUUAUGGUGAGAAGUGUGAGACUAAUCACGAAAGACAUUGUUAGACCCGCCCAUAACCGCGGGCACGGCUAUUCGAAUAGUUUUACUCUGAUCAGAGGUGUACCACUGUACCCACAAGACACAGCCCCACAUCAUGUCACCAUGUGCCUCAAUACCACCACGGUACCUCGGAAAGGAGCUGUGACAAUACCCCUCGCACAACACAAUCCACUACAGCGCACCUUUCCUGGAUCAUAAUCACCCCCUUAUAAACAAGGCAUGGACUCCCCAGCGACCCCCGUGGGCUUAUCUCCGCCACUUCUCAGUCUGGUGCCCCGCAAUGAACCAUGCUAUACAAAAGGUAAAGCCGUUGCCCACGCUGGCUUGUGGUUGGCACGGUUAAUGUUUCACAACCGAAACUCGUGAACCGGUCCUUAAUUGUCAUGAGCACGACUCUCAAAACCAUGUGCUCACAACCCACCAUUAUCAAGUUUUAGUUGGCAAGUAAUUAAUUAACCAAUCACGUUUGACCAUCGUGAACUAACAAUAAGCCAUCAUUAAAUAAUAGUGAGUCAUAAGUUAUCCCAAUAGUGUGCUAAUGUUUCUAAGCAUGGCUAAGCAAUCACAUCUAAUAUCUAGCUGAACCAAUAUAUAUAGCUCAACUAGUCAAGUUAAAAUAACCCAAGGUAUCAAGGAAUAAAGUAAUCAAGAUCAAAAAGGGCUAUAACAAACAAUAGGUUAAUUCCACCCAAUGACAUUCGAAAAUAAAUGCAAUAUUUGAAUAGAAACAAUAGCUUUAAACGGGAUCAACAUGCUCAAAGGGUUGUUUGGGAUCUGUGUGACUUGCCUUGCUGGCCUUGGAACUCUUCAAAUUCUUCUCCUGCGAAAACGGGCUCUCCAGAAACGUCGGAAUCUAAACAGGAAAGAGCAAAAUCACCAAAACAGCACAUAAACAAGCAUGAACAGUACAUGUGGAUAUUUUUAACAUGUAGAUCUCAAUUUUAGAAAAAUUUAGAGACUUGAACCAACUAAAUCCGAGCUAAGAUGAAUUAGUUAUGAAUUUUUAAAGAUUAAAUCGGAUUAAAACACUUAUAUGGAUUUUAAUUGAAUUAUGACGCAAUAAUGAAUUAUUUUUGAAAAGGAAAAAGGAAUUAUUGCGUCAGCGGCUAGGGUUUGCGGUGGACCGGGCGCACGGCAGCGGUUCACGAGAACGAACGGCCGAGAUCGAUCCAUCCAAAACGGACGGCCGAGAUUGACCGAUCCACGGCCGGCUCACGGCGGACGGUCCCGAUGACGUCGGCGAUGACGUCACCACCGGCGGCGGCUCGGGCUUGCAACCUCGCCGGCGAACGACGGCGCGGCGACGCGAACGGAGGGCACCAGCACGAUGCGGGCAUCGCGGCGAACUCACCGAUGACCAAAACGUCGGCGGAAGAGCAACGGACGGCGACGGCGAAGAGGUUGAAGCGGCGGAGAAGAUCGGGUCGACGGCGGCGACGGUGUUCCGGCGAUCUUCAGCGACGGCGAAGGGGCGGACGAGGACGGCGACGUGACGGCGACCACGAUGGUGACCUCCCCGAGCGACGGCGACGGCUGGAGCGACGGCGAAGCACGGCUGGAGCGGCGGCGACGACGGCGGCGCUAGGGCGCUUCCGACGGCGAGAGACGAAGGCGAGGGUGGCGACGGGUAGAGGAGACACCGGGGAUCCUUUUAAAGGGGUUGGAGGGCGGCGGCGAAGGCCCACGGCGACCGGCGACGAGAAGGAAAGAUCGGGGCUCGGAGAGAGAGACCGAUCCGAAUCGACCUCGAAUCAAACACUUUCCAAGCGAAAUUAGCCGACGAUUCCAUAAGAGAAAAGGUAGAGGAGAUCCCGAAGAUUGUUUCCCCUCAAUUGAUUUCACCGGAGAAGGAAAGGAGCGGCCGGAUUUGGAAGGAGACGGCGGCGGCGCGGCGCUAGGGUUCGGGCGGCGGCCGACGCGAGGAAGACGACGACUCCGACAGGCGGGACCCACCUGUCAGCGACCGAACGCGCGCGUGAGGGACGGCUGCUGCUGGACUGGGCCGACUUGGGCCGGGGAGAGAGAGAGGGGGUUUUGGGCCAACUUUCGGCCCAAAGCCAAAAGAGACUUUUAAAAAACCUUUUUCAAUUUAAAUUAUUCAUGAAAUGCAAUUCCAUUUAUUAAAAAUACUUCCUUAGCUCAAAUAAAUCCCAGAAAAAAUCUAGGAAUUAUAGAAUUAAGCAAAAUAUUUAAUGAAAUUUUAUCUGGCCCCAUUUUAUAUUGGAAUUUAUUAAUUAAAAUUAGAUCUUCUCUUCUAGGCUUUUAAAAAAUAAAUUCUAAUAAUUCCAAUUAAACAACAAUUUAUAUAUUUUGGAUUUUUAGGGUGUGACAUCUACAUAUUUCAAUAAAAAAAAGUCCUACCUAAAAUUUAAAACUAACUCAAAAUUUGAAAACUUUGAACUCUCAACAUGAAAUUUGAACUUUCAACUCGAAUUUUGAAACUUUUAACCUGAUUUUAAAAACUUUCAACUUGAAUUAUGAAAACUUUCAACUGGUAAUUUAAAAACUUUUAACGCGAUUAAAAAAAUUUCUAACUCAAACUUCUAAAACUUUCAACUCGAAUUAUGGAAAAUUUCAACUGAAAAUUCAUGAUCUUUCAACUAUUUUUUAAAACUGUGAACUAUCCUAAAAAAAUAAUUAUUGAUGUAUUUUUUUAAAAAAAAUAUUACUCCAGUACAUAUUACCAUUAGCGCUAAUUAGGUCAUUUGCGGACUAAUCACCCCGGGUGCGGGCAUCCCAAAUAAAAGCCUUCGCUCCACCCGUCAACGUCUGUUUGUUGUAUUCCCCUUCCUUACCCCCAAAAUCGAAAUCCCUAAUUCGACGCCAUGGCCGCGACUGGCGGCGCCGCCGGGGAGAAGACGGCCAGCAGCCUCCUGCUCGGCGUCCGGGGCUACACGUCCACCCUCAAGAACGCCUCCACCGCCAGCUGCAGGUUGAGCGCCGGCCAUCCCAUCGAGGUGACUUUGUGGGAGGCGUCCCCGCCUGCCCUCUCCCACUUCUCCGUCCACUGCCCCGAUCUCCCAUCCUUCAAUGGCAAUCUGCUUGGCGCGCCUAAAGCCAUCGCCGCCGCCGUCGACGACGCCGACGGCCAGCUCCUCCUCCUCCUCCGAGUCCCCAUCGAUCAGCUUGGUGCCCCGCAUGACAACGACUACUUGGUCUACCAUCCGGAUCCCCCGUCUCCGAAACUGGAUCUGCUC
RNAcentral lists this long non-coding RNA (82423 nucleotides) under Oryza sativa (Asian cultivated rice). RNAcentral describes it as "long non-coding RNA (OSAT_LNC001252)". The stretch from base 43613 to 43820 matches the Rfam family "MIR812 microRNA precursor family". Lineage: Eukaryota; Viridiplantae; Streptophyta; Magnoliopsida; Poales; Poaceae. The record is from RNAcentral.